UUUUUUUUUGUGUUUUUUUUUUUUUUUUUUUUGUUUAUCCUUUUUUAACCAAUAAUUACCCCGGCAAAAAAUUCAACCCACCGAUCGAAAAUAUAAACAUACACCAUUCUAUAUAUAAAAAGAGAACAUAAAUUACUAUUAAAUGAAUAAUGUUUGAUUCUCUUGUGAGGGCUUUAUUUGAGUAUACGAGGGCUUUAUUUUGAGCUCACAUAUUACACUUCAUGAGUCUUGUGGUAUUUUUCAUUUUUCAAUUGACAUAACGUAAAGUAUCUCACACUUUCAUUUUGCUAAUACAUUUUCUAUAACAAACAAAAAUCAAUCUAUCUCCACUUAUUCUCUAAAACUUUGCGCACCUGAGGGAUAAUUAUAAUUAUUGGUAAGACUCCAUUAACAACAAUACAAAAAAGUCAACCCCAUAUGUUCUUAAUCGUUUUUCUCUCUAUUUUGCCGGAUAACUAAUAGAUUAAUCUCUCAUUUAUAAAAAUAUUAGGGAUAAUAAAAUGAGAAAAUUAAAUUUCCACCAAGUCCAAAUUCUCAUUCGCCGAGUUUUUCAGCCUUUCGACCGCUUUUCCCACCUACAAAAGUACAAUAAAGGGUCGUUUGGUAAAUGUAACUUUCGGAAUGUGGAACAAAAACUAAUGAAGAUUGUAAGUUGAGCUAAGAACCUCUGCAUCCCAGUUGGUUCUUGCAGUGAUGACAAUCAGUGUCACUGUCUGCAAAACAACUCCUACUAUCAUUCCCCACCAUAUUCCCUGCCCAAAAAAAAUCGAAAUUUGUAGAUCUCGAAACAAUACGAUACUAUUUCGUAAAGGGCUUAUUCUCCUCCAAUGAGUAUGAAUCGACUUACCGCAACUCCCAACGAGGUUUUGAAGCCAAGAACACAUCCAACCGGAAGCCCGAUGAUGUAGUAAGUUGCCAAGUUCACAUAUGCCACCACUCCUUGCCAUCCGCUCCCGAUCGCCACUCCUAGCACCCAAAUAAGUACAAUGAGAUAAUAAUUCGAUUGUGGAAAAAUGUUCGAAGAAAUAUACAUUAUGUCUCGACGUAAUUCUUGAUAAAACGACUCAAGAAACCAAACAGUGUAACGACUGCUUGGUUUCAUCGAUCCUCGUACGAGACGGAUUUUCCGAUACUGCCCUAUAGUGAAUAUGGGGUCAUUACUAUUUUUUCACUAUAACAGAGUGAAAAGUUUGACCAUGGGAAAUCCUUAUGGCUUCAGGAUUUGACUAUAAACUUGUGGGUGAAGUUAAGGAAUCUUGUUACCAGAAAGGAUGGGUUGAAUGCCAUUGAGGAAAACAGAGAUGGCUAGUAAAGGAGUUAGGUCCGAGACCGCCUCCAUAACCUCCGAGUCACUAGUGAACAACUUGCUCAACCCUACUCUGCAUAUCAACACUGCAGCACUGAACACCGAGCUGAUCGCGAUGCUGCUACCGUUCACCACCCCUACCGACAGCUUCGCCACGUUCGGAUGCCCUGCUCCUAGCUCGUUGCUCACCCGAAUGCUGCACCGAAAAGAUUAGGGUGGAAAUGGGUUCACUUUCGACAGAAAAACCGAGUUCAAUCAAGUAGAAGGAUGGAUUAAGGGGGCUGACCUUGCAGCUGCACUGAGCCCCAACAUGAACUGUAUGUCCCAGUUCAAGUAGUACAUGCUGCAAACACAGAUUGCCAUUAUGGCUUUGAUUUGGUUAGGGUGGCUAUAUAACGUUUGUAUUUCGCUUCGUGCAGUCUUUAUUUGUCUUUAAUAAAAAAAAUUAUUUAUUAUUUUGCUAAACAACUCUUAUUGUAUUAGUUUUAUGAAAAGUGAAUCGAUGACAAGAAAGACUUUUGAAGACACUAUUGCUAAACUCAUAGAUUUUCCGAAAAGUGGGAGAAUUGUGUAGCAAUUAUUGAUGAUAAAAUAUGAUACGAGAGUAUAAUAGUUAUUAAGGGUAUGAUAGUUAUUUUAUGAACUGCGCGAAGUAAAACACAGACAAUGAAUUGAAAAUUAGUUAAUUAGAAGAAAAAAGUAAUUCUUUUUUGUUGGGAAAAAUAUUACCAAAUAGAGAUGGAAUCCAAGGCAAUGGUUGGAUUGGAUAGAAGACCUGAUAUAAGAACCAACCCUUGGUUGUACCAUACUUCCAAGCUGUUGGAAAAGAAAAGAAAAACCACACAAUUAGCAUAACCAAAGAGGAGUCGAAACUCGGACCGAUUGUGAUCGGUAGGGCUGUCAAACCGGGUUGGAUGGUACUCAUUUGGAGCCCUACCAAAGCAUGACAGCUGAAGCAAGAGUGAGCUUGAAGUAAGGCCAAAUCCCUCUAAGAGCAACACUCGAGAACCCGGUCCAAGUCUCCUUACAACUAGGGCUCCAGAAAAUGUAGCCAGCAUUCAACGCAACCAAAACCCACCACGAAAAGCUCAGGGUCAAUGCCGCACCAAGGAUGCCUAGCUCCAAGACCUCAACGGCUAGCCAAGUGAGCAAUGUGUGCAAGAAAAACACUCCGACCGCCAUGUAUGCUAACGGGUUCACGAUGUUCUGUGCUUGGAGGAACCUCUGGAGUGGGCAGCUCACUGCGAAUGCAUAGAGCUGCGGGAUGAGCCCCCUGGCGAAGACUUGGCCUUGCUUCGAUAUGGCGGCCGAUUGGCCUAUGGAGAGGAGCACUGGGCCGGAGAAGACGUAGAGGAAGGAGAGGAAGGUUGCUGCUAUGAGAUGAAGGAGGACUGCCCUUUGGCAGAUGAUCCCCAUUGCUGAGUACCGUUUGGCUCCGUACGCUUGCCCACAUACUGUCUGCACUGCACUUGCCAUCCCAAGCUAAAAAAGAAAAGAGAUGUUUCGGUUAACAGGUCGAUCAAGUUACAUGGGUAGAAACAGAACAUAACAAUUGUUAGAAGUUGAGGACCAUAAUUUCUAUGUGCAUACAAACUCGAAUUUAACAGGACCAUAAAACCUAGAUCAACGGGGUUAUGGACCGGUCGAAUCACCACGAAUCAUUAUGGUCAUUCUGAUUCAGAUUUCAAGGUUGACUUAGACAGGUUUGAGUUGUAUAGAGUACGAUACUUACCAUGAUGCCAUAGGCAAGGCCUUGAAUUCCAACAGUAGCAAUGGAGGCACCAGCAAGCUCCAAGGAACCCAAAUGGCCAAUGAACAUGAGGGUCACAAAGCUGAUCAUAUAGUUGAAAACUGACACUACGAUAGCCGCCCACGAUAGCAGCCAGAGCUGCCGUGACUCCCAAGCAAACAUCUGGACCCACCACCGGAAGGUCCUCGAGGUAGUAACCUGCCUCUGCUCCAGCAGCUCCUCAAUGGCAUCAGAGGACAGUUGAGUAAAACCAGAGGAGUUUGAGCUGUGCAGGCUCGAGAGCAGGGGAGAGUAUUCGGUGGCCGAUGAUGCCAUUGAGAAAAUUUGGGUUAACAACGGUGCAGUUGGUGAUAAGGAGUUUUGAGUUGAUAUAGAACAAUUGAAUCAUCAACCAUUCUUAAUCAGAAAGUACCCAAAAGUGGAUACAGAAAGGUAGCUAGUGAAGGAGAGUUGGGAAUGAAUAUAGACCCAUUUAGGUUACCAGUUUUUUUGUCUGUCUGACAACCACUGAAUAAGACUGGUGGUUGAGUUGACCCGAGUUCGAUGCAGCGGUCUUCGAGGUUACCUUCCGGGUCGACGUAAAAGAAAAGACUGGUGGUUAUAACAAGAUGUUCAUAUUUCAUAUUUUACCUUCACAGUGUCAUUUUCUCAAGCAGACGAGCCUGCCUGUAUAUUACUACACUUUACAGCACUGCGAUUCGGGAGAGAGUAGUCAGUCAUCUUUCGCGAGGUACAUUGCCGUGUUAAAAAAAGAAUGUACGAAAAGGAGCAUUACUAUUUGCCUAGUUUCCCAUCUUCUUAAAGGGGAAAAACGGUAUUUGUUGACCUUGACGGUGACGAGGAGAACCCUUUUCCGAUGAUGCAUCACCGUUCGAGCUUUUUCAGUCUAGUAAUCGCCAAUGUUGGCAUUCCGAAGCUUCUUCUGGGGUGGGACCGAAGCCACAGAACUGAGUCCUUCCUUCCCCAUUUGCUGCACUUCGACUGGUGACAGUAUCUUGAUGUACCAGACGUUAUUCACAAAUUCUCUGCAACAACAAGAGGAGAGAAUGUGAACUUCAAAUUCAUGAACUACAAUCCUAGACCCUGAGAGUUAUCGUGGAUUUCGGACAAAGACAGCAUAACAAAAGGGGAAUUCUUACUGCCAAGGGUCGUCGCCGAGGAGAAGGACGUCAUUCUCCCGGUCAACAAAUACAAGCUGCCAGCCUGAUCUCUGAGGGUCCUCUAGUUGGCCUUCGAGGCCAAACAAGCGAGCGAGCUCAACACGCAGUUCAUCAUAGCUGCUGAACGUGGAUAUGUCCAGCGACCGCCCAAAGGACCCUGUUUUGUGAACCUGUCAAAAGAGGAACACAAAAGCGAACAUGAAAAACAAAAACAAUGUUGCAGAUAACUAACUGUGGAACUAUAUACCAAAUGGAAGAGAACAACUAUAGCAGGAUAUCAAAGUCAGAAAGCGAUUAUGAGAAGCAACAUAAACGUUGGUGAAUUUGAGAUUCCUUUUCAUACGACAGGAACUGUAGUUAGAAACAAAAAACGGUAUACUGCAAGCAAAGGCUUUACCAUAACAGCUCUGUUUUAAGCUAAAGAUGAGAAGACACAGGAACAGGGGAUGCCAGAAAGGUCAAUGUUCAGUAAGUUGAGCAGUCUCAAACAAUUACUAGUAAGUGACAAAGAAUUAUGUACAAGACACGGUAAGUCACCAAUUCCGGCAUGCACAAGCAUACGUAAUUGGAAAUAAUCAAUGCAUACCUUCACAAAGGUUCUUGUUGGUGGAUUGACUUGGUCGACAUUUUCAGAAGACUGCAAGUAACCCGAUUCAUCCACACAACUUGAAGUAGUCAUAUCCGAGUUAAGUGGAAGUUCACUCCCAUUAGCAUUCGGGUAAGCAGAAGCGAAUGGCAUAGACAACGGGUCACUUCCAUUCCCAAUAUUUCUCAUAUUUCCAAUGCCAUGCUGGAGCAUAUAGGAUGAAGAAUCAAUGUUAAUCCCAAAUAAGGUGUUAUUUUGUUGAUCUGUAGCACCCUGGUAUGCUGAAUACUCUCUUCCUGGAAAUGGAGGUAGCAAUGUAGCAUGCUCAGAUGCAUUUGACUGUAACAACUGGUCCACCUUGGGCAGUGUACAAUCUGCAAUACCGGGAGAAAAACGUUGACCGUCUGCCACUUGCCUAGACAACAAUGUAGAAGAAACUCCACCACCAUUGGACCCAUUCAGAUUAAACAUAUUGUUUGGUGCUCCAUCUCUUAUCAUUGAACCCAUCACACUGUGCAUCGAGGAAACAUCACCUGCAGCAACGGGAUUUACUACAGGCUCGGAGAAAGCUGGGUGCUGGGAUUGCAGAGAUGCAGAUUGAGACGGAUUGAUGGAUGUGUGAUGGGACAAAGAUGACACAACAUUAGAGGUCUGGUGCUGAGAAGGGGGUUGAUGCUGAGGAGAGGGCUGAUGCUGAGAAGAGGGUCGAUGCUGAGAAGAGAGCUGAUGCUGAGGAGAGGGUUGAUGCUGAGAAGAGGGUUGAUGCUGCAGAGAGGGUUGAUGCUGAGAAGAGAGUUGGUGCUGUUGCUGAGGUUGUUGAACCUGCCGUGACUGAGGUGGAGGAUGUUGAGGUUGCUUCUGUUCUUGCUGCUGAUCAUUAUACAUGGGAUGGCGCUGCAAUUGUUGGUGUAUAAGCUGUGCCUGAGACGAGGCUUGGCUUUCUUGGAAGUUCUGAAGAAAAGCGUGCUGAAGAUUGGACGAAGGCUGUAACAUCUCUCUCUGGAGCAAAGCACCAGGGUCAUUAGAUACAAUCUGUGACGGUGGGAACUGCAUAACUGAUUGAGAACCUAAUUUAGAAGAUUCAACAGCCCGCAUUUCCUGAAGCGCAGCCGCCGCCAUUGCCUGGUAGACAUCAGGUUGCAGAGCCUGAAUAGAAGCAUCAAUCCUUGGCUGAAGCCACGGAUUAACGCCAAAGCCUUGGAAGUUCAUAGAUUGCAUUCCCUGAUCCCCGAGUCCUUGAAGCCACAUCAAUUGAGAAUUUAUAUUCAAAUCGCUAUCCUUGAGACCUAAAUAAACAAAUAUUGAUAGUCGAGCAUCAGAAUCGGAUCCACAUUUAAACAAUUUCCCUACAACUUGAACAAUCUACAAGAGCAUACCAAAGGAUGGCAUGCCAGAUGGCCAAGGUCGCUUCAGUCUCAUAGGGAAUGGUGAUGGAUACAUAGGAAAUGUUGUUAAUGGUUCAAUCUCCCACAAGGAGACUCGUGGCUGUCUCUCCCCCGCAGUAGAUUCAUCCCAACCAACCUAUACAAUGAACAAUGAGUUCAACAUCGAGGGAAAGAAGUGCAGACUACUGAAAUAAUCCCCCCCUUGAUAAAAUACUACGGAAAAGAUCAUAAUAUUCGAACAUAACCUUAACCGAACGCCAAUGUGAAUUUUGCCAACGAACAGGAUCUAGAUCACUGAUCCCAGUAAUGGUACCCAUGUAUCUGGAGAGAAAAAAUGUAGCUAAUCAGUAACUAUCCUAUACUCAGGAAAAUAAGACGCCAAAAGCAACACACAAAUAAAAACAUUGUAUUUGCUCAACAAGAAAAGGCACAAACAAUUAAGAGAGGACAAUGAUGAUGUCUGCAUUAAUAGUAAGCAAUAAUACAAUUCAAUUUUUAUUCCAAGAAUAACCGACAUCUGAAAAGAAAUCACAGAACAGACUUUACUCAUAAAUUAAUAAUACUGGAAGAUAACAUUGUGCCAUUUAUUCCUGGCAUUUGUCAUACAUAAAAAAAUAAGACAUCGAAGUGAAAAGGAAUUCACGCUGUUAAAAUGAGAUCUUAUACAGACACGGAAAGAAAUCCAAUCGAAUUAAGAAUGACACCGAAAAAAUAGUAGACUCAAAGUGAUCGUACUUACCGCCGUACACUUGACUCUUCUGUCUCAAACAGCAUCCUAAAGCGCAUGCCAACAGAGACCCGUGUGUGGUAGACUGCUUUAACAUACUUGGCCAGCGGAAUAACAAACUCUGAGGGACUAGCUCUGAAUUGAGAAGCACGGAUCACCGGAUCAGUACAAGCUACAAGAAAGCAUUUAAUAUAUGUCCAUAAAAACAUGCAGAUUUAACACCUGGGGUUAAAAAAUAUAGUGAAACGACUGUUGGUAGCUGCUGCAUGAGCUGCUGCUGCAAGCAAGCCAAUGUGCAUGCUAUCACUUGAUAACACGGAAGAAGGCAUGAAAGUUUGUGGGCGAUUAGCAUGUCGAAUUCCCAGGAGCAUUUGGUUCUUUUCAUUCCUGAUAAAGGACAUUUUGAUCAGCACAUCUGAUGCAGGAUGACAAACAACACAUGAUUACUAAGAAACACAUCAACAUCAGCUGCAUCUACGAAUUACAUUGGUCCAUAUGCAAGUGUGGGUAUAUCCUUAGAGCAUAAAAAAUGAAUUGGCACGUUACAUAGACAACAAAAACAAGACAUUGACUCAGACAUUAAUAUAAACGAGAGAAUCAACGUAGACUUGAGUAAAAAGUUGGCCUAGUCAGCGUGAGUGGCAAUUGCAGUACAUAUAUAUAUAAUAAGGAGACAUCAGUGGAGCAAUAUGAUAGAACCUAGCAAAUUGGCACUUCCGGCCACCACAUCUAGAAGAGAUUAACAAAAAAACAGCACAGUGGAGAAUGAAAAUCAUCCGUACCAGAUGAAAAUGACAGAAUCACCAGCAACUAGCCUCUUUGCACUGACAAACACACUCCAUCCUGUUGUAAGCAGAUGCCUUUUUGGCUGCCCUGAAAAAUAUAAACAUUGAUAAUAAAAAUCAACAACGGUGUCCCUGGUGUAAUAGAAUAUCUAUACCCUAUAAUACAAACUAAUAAGCAUGAUAGUUCUCCUUUGCAACUUCUCCAAAACCUUAACCAGAUCACAUCCUAUAAUUCUAUUUAGUUCCAAAAGAGCGGUAAAUGCUUUCACUACAUGCAACUCUUCCUGAACCAGAACCUUGACCUUUUUGUCUGUCACUAAGAUACAUAGAUGAACCGGUGACGAAUUAGUAAUGUUACUUUUUUUUGGGUACAAACUAACCUCGAAAAACAUGUCUGAAUUUCCACUCGUUAUCAUGAAGAUCUCUUGCAAUAAGUUCCUGACAAGGAGGAGUCUGAGAGUAAUCCUACAAGGCCAAGCAGUGAAGCCAACAACCAGUAGUAACAAACAACAUUAGAUACCACUAGUUGACAACGUAACAACAACAGAAAACAAGUAAAAACAGAGCAAGUGACCUACAAGAGGAGGAAAGACUUUUUCAGCAGCCCGACGAGGAACAGAAAAUCCCCCGUGAGUACUAGUGUCACUUGCAGUCAGCGUUUUACAGAAGUAGUUGGUCGGCUGUUUGCUGGGAGCACCUAACUCUGCUGGCAGAAGAUAAACUUCCUUUUGCUCUUGCUGAAAAACAAAAGGCUCUUUGUCGGACCACAUAGUUGCAGAGGAGAAAGGAAAAGACGAGAAUCGAAAAUAAAUCAAACAAGUACCGGACUCAACGGUUGCAAUGUCAUUUGAGCAUAGACUUCAUCUGUCUCGAUAUCUGACUGCACUUAGAACCAUUCAAACGUCAGCAACAUCAUUACGAGUUACGACACAACACAACUUAAUCAAAAGUACAGUAUAAGUGAACGCACUCACAUGCAUGGUGACAUUGUGAAGCUGGCAUAUAAGCUGCGGUGGUAGGCUAGGAUAGUUUGGUAUAUGAGCAUCCACUUCCUUGUUAGUUGAAGCUGCAACCUGCAUAAGUAAUCAUUGUUCAUUGAUUAAUGACCUGGGAACUGGUACGGGAAGUCAUCCUUUGAACGUCCAAUUAGAGAAACAAGCUGAAUCAGCGAGCAUCAAAUGCUUAAUUGGAGAUGAAGAGAUGUUAAAACUCGCCUGUUCGCUAUGACCUUGCGGGAAGUAAACAACUCGAGUUCCAAGAGUUGGCAAAGACACGAGAGGUCCGGCGCAUGCAUGCCACAGCUCAGAAUUCAGACACUUGUUAUCACCCACUAUGACAACGAAAACAGAGAAUAUCAUACGAAGUACAGCAUUUCAAAUCCAAUUCAACCUCUCAAACUUUCACAUCAAAAUAUUCAUACAAGGAAAUACCAAUUGAUCAUAACUCCUACCUUCCUGAGCCUGCUGAUUGAACCCAGGGGAAGAGAGCCUCAUUCUUCAGUGGAACCACAAACUUCGAACAAACUCAACCCCAAACCCUAAUUAACCAACAGAACGAGAAGAAGAAAAAAACUAACUAUUGCAGCAACAGCAGUAGUAGUUCUUUGUACGCUGAGCAAACAAUUAGAGAUAAGACUAGCUCACGAAACUGAAGCACAUUUGAAGCAGAGCCCUCCCCCCUCCCCGCCUCAGCCCUACCCCCGAAAUAAUCAAACCAGACAACUACAAAAAGCUGAAUCAAAUCAUCGGAAGCCACUUCCAGGAGAAGCAGCAGGGACUCAGCUCCAUACUACACCUUCUUCAGAUCUCUCUUCUCUACUUCUUCAAGCUAUUCAGUUCCUCGAAACAGCCAAUUUUCUUCAGAUCUCGAGCAGCUGCUGCUACUCCACUACGACUUGGACGGGAAAAGCAAGUAAGAAGCGGGUACGGAGCAUGAAGCAGGAUGAGUAGCUAGCUAGUGGAGGAGGUGGAAAAUGGAGAGGUUUCUAUGGCGGUAUUUGAGUAGAUGUUUUCAGGCUUUUUUGGUUCAGAGAAGCAAAAGAUAGGAAAGGCGUUGUUUCGAGGAAGAAGGAAGAAGAAGAAGAGGAGAAAGGGAGCACUUCCACUGUUGCACAAUUUGACAGAGAGAGAGAAGCAGUGGGCGUGUGUGUACUGUGUCCGAAUUUCGGGUAUUUCCUUUUCCUUUUUUUUAAUAUUUUAUUGUUCUUUUUUUUUUUACUUGUACGUCGGCUCUCAACGGGUUUUCGGCCUUUUUUGGUUAGUGGAAAAAGAAAAUGUUAUAGGUUCGGUUCGAUUCCUAGUUAACCAAAAUAAAAUAAAAAACUGAAAAUUAGAUAAAAACAUUCCAUCGUAUGAAAUUAUCUCGGGUUUCAAUUUUGAUAUCGUUACAAAUUAUAACCAAUUUAUGUGAUCUUUAUUUAGAAUAAAUACAAUGACUAACGUAGGUGAUCCAGUAAGGCUUGGCCAAAACCCGCACAAUAGGCACAUCUUAAAGACGUGUUAAUUUUGCUUGGCUCAUUAAUUUAUAAUUUUGCUCGGCUCGUUGAUUUAUAAUUUUUCUUACCAUCCUUUAUGUAGACGUCUUCGACAUUUCACCAUCUUGAUUUACACCUUUGUAUCGACGUCUUCGACAUUUCACCGUCUUACAAAUUUCUCUUAAUUUCCUCUUUUAGCGACUCCUCGUGUAUUGUUGUUGGUAACGUAUUCGUACUCCGAGACUUGUAUAAUUUGAUGUUUAUGUUUCGUUUUUUCGAAUUGAUUUGGAUGUUUAAUUAUGUCACAAAAGUGUUAAUGCAAUGUCUUCAGCCACCGAGACUUUGGUAUAUUCAAAGUCCUGUCCUCUAAAGUUAAGUAUUUUGUAUAGUGGUCCGAGUGGAGUAGCACUAAUUUUGUGUUUUGGCGACUCGAAGGGUACCUGAUUCGAAUCCAGUCACAUCCCAUAAGUUUCACCAGUAUUUGUUUUGAUUGACUUAAAUUUUAUUUGGAUGAACCAAAAACCAAAUAAUCUCCACCUCUAUGGAUACGUGGGUUGCAACUUGUGAAUGAGAAUUGACUAGACAAGCAGCUAGUCUUUAGUUUCAGAAGUUACCUUCACUGUGCCAUUCAUUCUCAAGUUUUGCAACAACAGUUAAGGCACUAGUGCUGCUACACUUUACAACACUGCAAUUUCCGGAGAGUUAUCGACAUCGAAUAAUCAUUUUUCGCAAAGUGCAUUGACGUGUUGAACAAGGGGUUAAAAAAGAAAGGAGCAUUACUAUUUUGCCUAAGUCCCAAUAAUCUGAAGGGGGGAAUGGUAUUUGUUGACCUUCGCGGUGAUGGAGAACCCUUGGCGUGAUGCAUCAACUUUCGAGAUUGAUGGUGUUCAGCCUAGUAAUCGUCAAUUGUGGCAUUGCGGAGCUUCUUUUGGGGUGGGAUGGAAGCCACGGAGCUCAGACCUUCUUUCCCCAUUUGCUGCACUUCUACUGGUGACAGUAUCUUAAUGUACCAGACGCUAUUCACAAAUUCUCUGCAACAACAACAGGAGACCCAUAGACUCGUGAAAUAAGAUCCUAGGACCUACAAAUUAUUGCGGAUUUCACACAGGAUCGCGUAGAACCAAGCAAAUGCAUAAGAAUUGUAGUAACUAUGGGAACUCUAGCAACUUAACAGGGUGGAAUUCUUAUGCAGUGCAUUUCAAAUACCAAAGGACCGAUUCACAGGUCAAGAAGCCAUGAACGGCAAAAUAGGCGAAAUAAAUGAAACGGGGACUUACUGCCAAGGGUCAUCGCCAAGGAGAAGAACAUCAUUCUCCCGGUCAACAAAUACAAGCUGCCAGCCUGAUCUCUGAGGGUCCUCCAGUUGGCCUUCUAAGCCAAACAAUCGAGCGAGCUCGACACGCAGUUCAUCAUAGCUGCUGAACGCAGAUAUGUCUAGCGAUCGCCCAAAGGACCCCGUUCUGUGAACCUAUCAAUCAAAUAACUAGCACUUUUUCACAUGAUGCAAGCAUAAAAGAAACCAAUGAGCGAGAAUGAUUAAUGAAAUCUGAAUUCUGAUUUUUUUGCACAUAACUCACUGUGGAACAAUUCGACUACAGAAGGAUAACAAAGUCGGAAAAUAAUUAUGAACCACGAGCUCGUGACUAAGAAAUAAAAGUACCACCUACAAUGUUCAUCCGAAGCGAUAUAAACACAGUGUAGUCAUAUCUGAAAGCUUUUCAUGUAAUAAUAGGAACUCGCAAGUCGCAACUAAAGGCUUUACCAGUACAGCCCAGUUUACCCUAAAGAUAGGAAGACAGGGAAACAGGGGAGGCCAACAAAACUAGUAUUCAGUAAAUUAAGCACUCUCAAACGGUGCCCAUUCUACAUUUCUGCAUGUGAACAAGAACAAUAAAUUACAGCAGACGAGUGGCCAAGAAUCAUGUAUAAGAAACGGUACCAAACUUGGGCAUGCACAAGCAUGUACUUAAAUGGACAUAAUAAAUGCAUACCUUCACAAAGGUUCCUGUUGGUGGAUCGACUUGGUCAACAUUCUCAGCAGACUGCAAGUAACCCGAUUCAUCCACACAGCUUGAAGUAGACAUAUCUGAGUUAAGUGGAAGUUCACAUCCAUUAGCAUUCGGGUAAGUAGAGGCAAAUGGCAUAGACAACGAGCUACUUUCACUGCCAAUAUUAUUUGCAAUACCAUGCUGCAGCAUAUAGGAUGACGAAUCGAUGUUAACCCCAAACAAGGUGUUAUGUUGCGGAUCUGUAGCAUCCUGGUAUGCUGAAUACUCUCUUCCUGGAAAUGGAGGUAGCAAACUAGCAUGUUCAGAUGCAUUUGACUGCGACAUCGGGUCCACUUUAGGCAGCGCACAAUCUGCAAUACCAGGAGAAAAAUGUUGACCAUCGGCCACUUGCUUAGACAACAAGGUAGAAGAGAUUCCACCACCAUUGGACCCCUUCAGAUUAAACAUGUUGGGUGCUCCAUCUCUCAUCAUUGAGCUCAUCACACUGUGCACCGAAGAAACAUCACCUGUGGCAACGGGAUUUACUACAGGCACAGAAAAAGCCAGCUGUUGGGAUUGCAGAGAUGUAGAUUGAGGCAGGUUGACAGAUGUGAGAUGAGACGGAGAUGACACUACAUUAGAGGUCUGAUGCUGAGAAGGUAGUUGAUGCCGCGGUUGCUGAGGUUGCUGAACCUGCCGUGACUGAAGCUGCGGCUCUUGUGGUAACUUCUGUUGUUGCAGUUGAUCAUUAUACAUAGGAUGGCGCUGCAAUUGCUGGUGACUUUGAGACAUGGCUUGGUUUUCUUGGAAGUUCUGAAGAAAUGAGUGGUGAAGAUUGGACAAUGGCUGUAACAUCUCUCUCUGAAGCAGAGCAGUAGGGUCAUUAGAUACAAUUUGUGACGGCUGGAAUUGCAGAAGUGAUUGAGAGCCUAAUUUGGAAGAUUCCACAGCCCGCAUUUCCUGAAGGGCAGCAGCCGCCAUGGCCUGAUAGACAUCAGGUUGUAAAGCCUGAAUAGAAGUAUCAAGCCUUGGUUGAAGCCACUGAUUAACGCCAAAGCCCUGAAAGUUCAUAGACUGUCCCUGGUCCCCGAGUCCUUGAAGCCACAUCAAUUGAGCAUUAAUGCUCAAAUCAGUAUCCUUCAGACCUAAAUAAACAGGUCAAGAAAUAUUGGUGAUCAGGCAUCAGACUCAGAUUCCAAUAAUUUGAACAAUCCACAAGAGCAUACCGAAGGAUGGCAUGCCAGAUGGCCAAGGUCGCUUCAGUCUCAUAGGGAAUGGUGAUGGAUACAUAGGAAAGGUUGUUAAUGGUUCAAUCUCCCACAAGGAGACUCGUGGCUGCCUCUCCCCUGCAGUGGAUUCAUCCCAACCAACCUAUACAAUGAAAGAUGAGUUCAGUAUCCAGAAAAAAAGCGCAGACUGCUCAAAUAACUCCCCAGAUAAAAACUACUGAAAGGAUCAUAACAUUUGAGCAUAACCUUAACCGAACGCCAAUGUGAACUUUGCCAACGGACAGGAUCUAGAUCACUAAUCCCAGUAAUGGUACCCAUGUAUCUGGACAAAAAUGCAGCCAAUCAGCAACCAUCCUAUACUAAGACAAACAGGACAUCAAAAGGAAUAGACAGAGAAAAACAUUAUACGUAUUGAUCAACAAGAAAUGGCAGAAUUCUGAGAGAAGAAUAUUAAUGUCCGCAUUUUCAGUAAGCAAUACAGUUAAAAUAAGAUCUUAUAUAGACAGGGAUAGCCAUCCAGUGGAAUUAAGAAUGAUGCAAAAGAAGAAUAAAUUAAAAUGGCCGGCCUUACCGACGUACACUUGACUCUUCUGUCUCAAACAGCAUCCUAAAGCGCAUGCCAACAGAGACUCGAGUGUGGUAGACUGCUUUAACAUACUUGGCCAGUGGAAUAACAAACUCAGAAGGACUAGCUCUAAAAUUGAGUAACACAAAUAACAGAAUCAGUACAGGCUACGAGAAAACAUCUAAUAUAAUUCAAUAAAGAUAUACAGACUCGCCACCUUGGAUUAAAGAAUAUUGUGAACCGACUAUUAGUAGCUGCUGCAUGAGCUGCUGCUGCAAGCAAACCAAUGUGCAUGCUAUCACCAGAUAAAACAGAAGAAGGCAUGACAGUUUGGGGACGAUUAGCACGUCGAAUUCCCAGGAGCAUUUGGUUCUUUUCAGUCCUGAUAAAGACCACAUUUUGAUCAGCAAAUCUGGUGUAGGAUGACACCAAGACAAGAUCACUAAGAAACACAUUAUUAAUAGCUGUAUGCACUGUGGUCGAUAAAUAGCAUCUUUCGGACAUUCAGAGUUACAGAAUUUAAAUAAACAACAAAACCAGUCAUUGACGCGAGGACAUAAUAGAGACUGGAGAAUCAACAUAAGCUUCAAUAAAGAAAAAAAUUGGUCCAUCAGUAUGCAUGACAGUUUCAGUGCAUAUAUAGGUAAGGACAAGACAUCAGAAGAGCAAUAUGUAGAACCUAGCAAAUUGCUCAUCCGGAUGGCAUUCUCUAGAGGCUAACACAAAAGCAGCACAGUGGAAAUAGAAAUCAUCCCUACCAGAUGAAAAUGACAGAAUCACCAGCAACUAGCCUCUUUGCACUGACGAACACACUCCAUCCUGUUGUCAGCAGAUGCCUUUUGGGCUGCCCUGAAAGAUAAAUACGUUGAAGAUCAAUUCUCCAAUCACAUUUCCACAUCCGCUGUAAACUCUCCACAGCCUAACAUAUCAAAUACUAAUAUUCUACCUAGUUCAGAAGGAUAGAAUGUUUUCAGUACAUUGUUUGUCAGUUUCUUCAACAAACUAACCUCGAAAAAUAUGUUUGAACUUCCACUCAUUAUCAUGAAGAUCUCUUGCAAUAAGUUCCUGGCAAGGAGGUGUCUGAGAGUAAUCCUACAAAGCCAAGCGGUAGAAAUCAACAGAAAAAACAUUAGAACACCACUUGUUGACAACGUAACUUGAAGAACUAAUAACAGAAAGCAAGUUGAAGAGAACAGGUGACCUACAAGAGGUGGAAAGACUUUUUCAGCAGCCCGGCGAGGAACAGAAAAACCUCCAUGAGUACUGGUGUCACUUGCAGUCAGUGUCUUACAGAAAUAGUUGGUUGGUUGUUUACUGGGAGCACCUAACUCUGCUGGCAGAAGAUAAACUUCCUUUUGCUCUUGCUGAGAACAAGGCUCUUUAUCAGGCCAUUAAGUUGCAUAGGAGAAACCAAAAGACAAAAUUAAUCGAAAACAAAUCAAAGCACAAGAAAAGAAUAAGUACCGGACUCAAGGGUUGCAAUGUCAUUUGAGCAUAGACUUCUUCUGUCUCGACAUCUGACUGGACUUAGAAUCAUUCAAACCUCAGCAACAAGACUAUGGUACAUCACAGCUUAUUAAAAAAAUAAAGCAUAAGUACACUCACAUGCAUAGUGACAUUGUGAAGCUGGCAUAUAAGUUGUGGUGGUAGGCUAGGAUAGUUGGGAAUCUGAGCAUCUACUUCCUUGUUAGUUGAAGCUGCAACCUGCAUACGUAAUCAUUGAUGAAUUCAUAGGUGGAAACCACUCUUUUGUUAAGGAAUGCAAAAUAGACCAACGAUGAACCUCUCCUCAAGGAAAAUCCGAACUACUCAAUAACCCGAUGAAAUACAUCAUAUAUCUGCAUAAGGGAGCAUGAACAUAGAACAAAUUGUGAAACUGACCUGUUCACUGUGACCUUGCGGAAAGUAGACAACUCGACUACCCAGAUUGGGCAGAGAUACCAGAGGUCCGGCGCAUGCAUGCCACAGCUCAGAAUUCAAACACUUGCUAUCACCUCCUAAGACGACGAAACAGAGAGGAUCGCAAUUCAGACUCUCACAGUUUAAUUGAAUCAUCGGAAGCCACUUCCGGAGAAGCAACACGGACUCAGCUUUCAUACACACAAAAACCACAGCUCUUCCGUAGGUUGCCGCAACUACUCCACUACGGCGGCCGAAGGACCGCAAAAAACAAAAAAAAAACAGGGGGGGGAGGCGGAAACAACGUUGAAGCUGCAACCUGCAUACGUAAUCAUUGAUGAAUUCAUAGGUGGAAACCACUCUUUUGUUAAGGAAUGCAAAAUAGACCAACGAUGAACCUCUCCUCAAGGAAAAUCCGAACUACUCAAUAACCCGAUGAAAUACAUCAUAUAUCUGCAUAAGGGAGCAUGAACAUAGAACAAAUUGUGAAACUGACCUGUUCACUGUGACCUUGCGGAAAGUAGACAACUCGACUACCCAGAUUGGGCAGAGAUACCAGAGGUCCGGCGCAUGCAUGCCACAGCUCAGAAUUCAAACACUUGCUAUCACCUCCUAAGACGACGAAACAGAGAGGAUCGCAAUUCAGACUCUCAAGUUCGGAUGAAAACAGUACAAAUGCAAUUAAGGAAUGAUCAAAAAUUCAAAACCCCUACCAUCCUGAGCCUGCUGAUUCAUCCCAGGGGAAGGGAGUCUCAUUCUUCAGUGAAACCACCGCCCAAACCCUAAUUAAGCAACAGAACGAAACCGUGAAGCAACUAACUAUUGUAGUAGCAGUAGUACGAGCUGUAAGUUCAAGAAAUUGAAGCACAUUUGAAGCAGAACCCUCCCUCCCUCCCCCACCACCCACNNNNNNNNNNNNNNNNNNNNNNNNNNNNNNNNNNNNNNNNNNNNNNNNNNNNNNNNNNNNNNNNNNNNNNNNNNNNNNNNNNNNNNNNNNNNNNNNNNNNNNNNNNNNNNNNNNNNNNNNNNNNNNNNNNACUGCCGAGUCGGUUCGGCCGGAUCGGACGGGUAGUUAAAUAUCCAAACUCACCCUACGAGUAGGUCAAGAUCGGAUUUGAUAUUGUAACGCGAAAUACUUGAUAGGACGAAUAUAAACGUUCAGGCAUGGGAUAAAAACAAUAGUAUUUAAUAUACAUUACUACGAGUUUCGUGUCGAGGUUAAUGGCAACCUACGUAUGCCAUACAUACUUUAUCCAACCUCGGAUUUAGUACUUACCAGCUAACGAACCAAACGAUAAGAGUUGGAUAAUUUAUCCAAUGUGGAGGAUGUAGGUUGUUUAAGAAAUGAGAAACCGUUGAUUCCUUACGGCCGACAACCACACCUCCUUCGGAUUCUCGCUUUCACUUGUAUCACAGUCUGUAAAGGUUUCUGAUUCAACUACUUAACCUUAAUCACAAAUUGAUAAAGGUUAAGUAGUUGGAUCGAUAUGGACUAUGGUUAAACUCAUUGGUUCGGAACCGCUCGAUUUUGAUUUGAUUAUUAUUUGUUCAUGCGGGAGGGAAAAAGGAAAUGGAAAUGAAUCAAAUCAAUCAAUCAAUCGGUAUUGAAUAAAGUGGGGCAUUAUUAAAUGAGGUGGCGGGGCCCACACCUGGGAAUGGAGAAAAUCUAACCCUCUCCGGGUCUACCACGGAUUUGAUUUUCUUUCCACCGCCCCCCUUCCCCCAUUUUCCUUCCCUGCCCUAUUCUAGGGGUCGUUUGGCAUGUAGGUUGAAAAUGUUCGGUGACAACUUUGUAUCCCGUAAUUUACUCGUUUGUUUAGUGAAGGUCGAUAUAUUUCUUAUUAUUUCCUACGAUGUUCAAGUGGAAUCGUGCAUUCAUCUCUCAACGAAAUGAAAAUAUCUAUUUGUUAUUGUCAUCUCUCGUAUCUAUGACAUUCAAGUCUAUCUAUAUCAGAAUUGCAAAAGGGAAUAGCAAGAGUAUUCAUGAUUUUACGUGUUUCAUUACUCAACAUUUGAAUUUAAGUUAACAUUUGUAUUUUUCACUGACUUUUCUCUAUUUUAGUAUUCCAGAGUCAUAAUGAUAUUUGAAAUCAAUAGCAUUUACUUUUCUUCAAGUAAAUUCAAUUAUUUGGUGGUUGGGAAGGGGAAGAAAGUAUGCAUGUUCACAUAUAAAACCAUAUAUGUCAAAACGACAUCAAACCGUACUUAUACCGCAUAUAAUCAUCGUUAUAUUUACACAAUUUAUUGUAAGGAAUUUUGAAAUUACGUAAAAGAAUGAAUUAUANNNNNNNNNNNNNNNNNNNNNNNNNNNNNNNNNNNNNNNNNNNNNNNNNNNNNNNNNNNNNNNNNNNNNNNNNNNNNNNNNNNNNNNNNNNNNNNNNNNNNNNNNNNNNNNNNNNNNNNNNNNNNNNNNNNNNNNNNNNNNNNNNNNNNNNNNNNNNNNNNNNNNNNNNNNNNNNNNNNNNNNNNNNNNNNNNNNNNNNNNNNNNNNNNNNNNNNNNNNNNNNNNNNNNNNNNNNNNNNNNNNNNNNNNNNNNNNNNNNNNNNNNNNNNNNNNNNNNNNNNNNNNNNNNNNNNNNNNNNNNNNNNNNNNNNNNNNNNNNNNNNNNNNNNNNNNNNNNNNNNNNNNNNNNNNNNNNNNNNNNNNNNNNNNNNNNNNNNNNNNNNNNNNNNNNNNNNNNNNNNNNNNNUACGUAAAAGAAUGAAUUAUAAUCGAAAAGUUUAUAAUAGAAGGAAAUUGGAUAACUACAUCUACAACUUAAAAAAAUAUAAUUAAAUUUAUAAUCAUAAGUGCUUCUUAAAAUUAUAUAAAUUGUGAAGUAAUAAAAUAUUUUAAAUAACUGAAAUGCACAACUCAACCACAUCAAAUAUUAAACAAUUUUUUACCAAAAGAAUCAAUACUAAACAAAUAACUAAUUCAACAACUCGAUCUUAUUCCCAAACCACUCCUUAUUCAUUUGCUAUUUUUUAUUUAUUUUUCAUUGUUUAUUGCCUGCUGUCAUCUGAGUUCUGACACAAGUAGGACCUGCCCCUUUUUCAAUAAAUAAAUAAAUAAUGCUACUUUUGUAUUUUUAUUUUCUCGUUUAAAUAUUUACUGUUUGUAAAUUAGUCAUAAAACAGUCAACAUUUUGAAACGUAAAAUGGGCCAACUUGCCCACGAUUCCCGGUCAAGGACUUCAACUCUAUUUUAUGCGAAAAGCAUAAAUCCAGGCCCAUCAAAAAUUAAGAACUAUAUCGGGUAAUCGAUCGAAACGAUCCCCUUCAUUUUCGAGUGCAACAAAAUAGUCCUAUCGGAACGCUACGUGUGAACGUCCGUUGAUUAUACUCGGUCAACGUUGGCUUUAGCCUCAUUCCAAAUGAUGUGGCACUUUACCCGUCAGCCCUGGACCACUCAACUGUCCAUCUUCGUCGUUCUUUCUUCCUCCGCUCUAUCUUCCACUAGCCAGAAGCGUGGGAACAUGUCGAAUCGAGGUCCAGUCGAAGGUUUCCGAUCAAUUAUGAUCUCCCAUCUAGAGGAGGCAAGGGUGGUUUGCUAAUUAAGUUCAAAUCUUAACGCACUCUACCAAACUUCCCGCCGGCAUUGCCAGAUUCCUUGUGUGUUUAUCUACUGCUGAAGUCUCCAUCCACAUGGAUGGUUGUUUUACAGAGAUCACAAUAGGCAGAGACAGAAAGAAACAAAAGCAAAUUGCGACAAAGAAGAGGACAAGAGCUGGUAAUGAUGCUUUUGGACACAUUUCUAACCCACUUCCACUUGGCAACAACUAAUAAGGUUAGAGGAGUAACUGCACCUAGGAUCAUUAAACUAACAAGGCUACCAAAAUUAGGCAUAACUAUUCACUCUUCCUAGUUAGUCUAUUUCGGGGGUGUCGUACUAUUCCAAGUUCGUCUUGAGUUUGAGAACGACGGUUAGAAGUUCGUGAUAUGCUUUGGAACGGAGAUGCUAUGUUGGAUAUUCUGUUCGGAAUGAAGUUGUUACGAAUGGCGGUUAGAGCAGGGUAGUCUCUCAGUUGGACAAAUCGUUCUCUUUUAAACGCUACAUUUUCAUUGUAUAGCUGGAUGUGGUUGCUCAUUCGGUUACUAGAGACAAGCAAGCUAGGUGGACUUUGGUGCAUAAUGUUUCUCUGGGUUGUGAUGAUGGAACUCGAAUACAAGAUCUUACCAAAUAUAGAUAAUACUUUCUACCACUUAGGCAAGACCACAUGGACUUAGAAGCGGCGGUGCAACAUGAAGACCUCUCAAGGACCGCCCAUCUUAAUACUACUCUUGCCCAAAAAUGUAUAAUGGGAUCCGAUGCAUCAGUUCUGGUACGAUCGCACCCGGCCAGUGUCUGGGAGAUGGAUAGAGUUCUGCUGAAAUGAAAUCCAACUCAUUGAUGGAAAAAAGCACAGCACAACAGAAGCUGAAAGAUUUUGAUCUUCUUCCAACUAACACCAAAACGAUGUUUGUUCAUUCCCCUUUACAAACACUUUUCUUCUCCUUCCUAAUAUACAUAAGACUACAGUGAUAAGCUUUUUAUUUUGAAUGAACAGAUUUUUGCUCGUCAGUGAUGACAAUGGCGGUCUGUGGUCUUCUCGUUGCGAGACUGUUUCAUCAAGAAAUUCCAUGCUAGUAAUGCUGCUCCCACGGCCGGCUCUAGCUGUUUUGUGUUUGGUUUUCGUAAUAGAAAACAACAGAGGGAGAACAAACACAUCAUUAGAGUGGGAAUUUAGUCCGUCACGGUCAAACCGGAUCGAAUUUGGUAUGCGACUUCUCAAUGCCAAGUAUGAAUAGAGGUAGGAAUUCAGUUGGUCACGGUUAAACCAGACUGGACUAGGGGUGAGAAUUCAAUUCGUAUGGUUAUUCUCGUAGUGAAUAACCGUUGCAUCUCAAUAACUCGAGUUCUUGGGAGCACCACGUAGAGAGCUGUUGCAUCCUAAUAACUCAAGUUGUUUGGAGAGAUUCAUAGUUAGUUUACAUUCCUUAACGACACCUCCUAUGUAAGGUUACCAUGUGUAGAACAAUUACAUCCCGAUAACUCGAGUUGUUGGGAGAGAUUCGUAGUUAGUUGACAUUCGUUAAUAAUAUCUCCUAUAUAUGGUUAGACUGCCAAGUACCAAGUUCUAGCAGUUGUACAGUGUACGUUUUAGCAGUUGACAUAAAAAAGCAAAUAGAUGUUUAGUUAAUUGGUACCUUUGGAACAAUAGGAUGAGCUCCAGGGUAAUCUCGUGAAAUGCAAUUCACAACCUCUUUCCCUAUAUCCCAUUUCUUGUUUGCUUCAAGAACACCACCGACCAUCACAAGAGGAAAAGGAGCAUUCCCAUCUGUCGCAUUUUGAGUAAAGAUGAGUCGAAAUGAUUGAAUGAUUUCGAGUGACGAUGUUAACCAAACAAAAGAAAUCGAGGAUUCAUACUUUCGCCACACAAUUGAAGUCGAUGCACAACAGCUUUCACGCUUAGAGCCAACUCUUCGACUGAAUCUUGCAGUAUCUGAUUCGCAACUUCAUCACCAGCCUCUGCACAAGAUACGACCACCGGGACAAGAUUCGCAAUGCGAGCCCAUGAUGGAUCUAAAUAAGUCCACCUACGAUCCACAAGAUAAAUAUGUUCAGUAACAUCAAACCUCACACAAGUACAUCAGUGAUCAUAACUAGCUUUAAUGAACCUACCCUAUAAGUUCAUCAGGAGAAGAAAGUCCAAGAAACUGCAAGAUACUAGAUGUAAGAAUCGUUUCAGGACCUCGACCAUCGUACGCCCUUAUUACUGCCGUUAAUGCCUGUGCAGCUAUUCCAUAGCCACUGCAAGUAUAGCACAGAGGAGGACGAAGAUAAGAUAUCUACUUUCGAAAACCCAGUUUUUUUAUUAAUGGUACAAAAAACGAGACAUACCUUCCCCAGUCACCGAGGACAGGGCCAGCACCUGCAGCGCGAGCUGUCCGGCCAUCUUCUGUGAACCCAUACGCGAUUGUUCCUGUUCCAGCAAUUAAAACACAUCCAUGAAGCUUUCCCAUUGUUCCACUAGCUAAAGCUGCCACAGCAUCAUUCUGAACAAAUAGCUCUACAUGACGAGGGAAGAUGUCCCUGAAUAUAACCACCAAACAGAUUUUCAGAAACAUCUAUAAUAGCGGGGGCAUCUAUAGAAUUUUGCCAAAGAUAUGCAAACGAACCUGAGCCACUUCAUGAUUCGCCGCUCAUCUGUUUGAUGAUUAACACCUGAAACAGCUAAACAAACUGCUCUUACUGCUGAUCUAUUUGAAGCAGACUUCAAGAGUGCCUCUGCCAUAACUCGCUCCAAUGUCUCUCUAGCAGCAAGUUCUGUAUCGUCAAACAAGAAAGGAGUCAGAACGAACAAAAGAACCAGUCAUUUUCCAUUGUCUGCAUUAAGCAUUGUAAUCCAAUAAUUGCCUCAUACAGAGGAAACAAAAAAUUUGUUAGUUAGAUGGAGGCAUGGAGCUGAACAUCUUUUCACACUUGAGAGAGCUCAAUUUCAAGUCAAACGGAGAUAUGAGAACUGACCGCCAACGCUGUUGUGAUUGGAGCAUCCGGCGACAGCGCGAGCCAGAAACGGAAGAGGAUCAGGCAACGGAGCGGAGAACGGGAGAAUCGGGAUGCAAACACAAACGGUCGAAGUUGUGCCGCCGUCCAAUCCUAAGAUCACCGGACGAUUACUCGCCAGCCCGUUCUCGUACUCGAAGUCCCAGAUUUCUCCAUUCCUGUACCUCUUCAUCAUUUACUUCCACAGCAGCAACCAAUCAAAAUUACGAUUGGAAUGAGAAAGACAGCACUGAACAGCAGACAAAGAAAAGAACCCAAAUCGAACCAAAACAUGAACAGGAUUCGAGAUUUCAGCCAAUCCAGACCCCCAAGGUGUGGGAUUGACUGUGAAGAAGAAGAAAUGGGGGAGGUGGGGAUUGGAAUUAAACGAGAGGGAAGACAUCGUCUUGCAGGUGGAGUUAUAAGGGUUCAUAUUCGGGCGGCCAAAACCUGCCAAAUGCUACUCGCUGGAGGAGUGACGAAUUGAAUUGUACACAAAAAUUGCUUAAAAAAUUCCCCCGGGAAAAAAAGAGAGUUUCUUUUAUCGUUUAUCUGCGAUGGGGGGGUUUUGGAAUUUAGGGUUCUAAUUGGCCGCCUGCAGCAGCACCUACUUCUAGAUGUUUGUUCUCCUCUUUCAGCAUUUUCGCGCCACCAGUCACCAACUCGACCUCGUACGCCAUGCGGCUGUUGUUUCCUAUUUGGAUUUUUGCGGCUUUUUUUUUCUUUCGUAAUGGCCAUAUUAGACCUUCAAACAAAGGUAUUAAUUAAUGAUCUAAUAAUAUGCAAUUUACUAACUUAUGAUUUGAUAAUCCAAUCUAUAGUCCUGGCCAAUUUGUCCAUUUGACCAUUUGGAUGAACAAUAUAACGGGUAUGGGUAUUGGUUAGAUUUCAAAUAAGUAUAAUACUUUAAAUUUUAUAAAUACAUCGUAUAUUUUGCUCUAAACAAAUAGAGAUAAUAUCUAUAAUAUAAAUAAUAAUGAACACACAUUAUUAUACUCAAAACUCUAUCCUCAUCUUGAUCCAUCAUUAAUAGUUUUGUCAAUUAACUCACCAUACUUCUCAAAUCAAAACCCUAACAUUAUUCGCGAUGGAUAUUGGUAUACCUCAUAUCUAAUUCCCACACCCUCUGUCUGGCAAGUUGCAACCCUAUGGUGACUAAUGGUGAAUUGGUGAUUGGUGAGCCUAGUCAUAGGUAGUUUAACUAAACCUUUAGGGGUUUAAAUGUAAAUUCUUCGGUGGUCUUAUCUUCUCCUGCUGACCUCAGUCCGCAGCGUCUAGCUCAUUAGCUCAGUAUCAUUUUCUUCUCCUUUGAACAAGCCGUCAGGCGUCAGCUCAUCAGCUUCUCCGUUCUGAUCGGAGAGUUCUCCUCCACCCGCGAUCUCGGAGAUAUUACAAUCCCCGCCGCCGGAUUUCAGGUCACCUCCGACCAUUUUCAGGUAACUCCCGCAGAUCGUCACUCUCCAAUACUUGAGUGGUAAUUCACUCUUCAGACCUCGAACCAGAUUGAGCUCUUUCUGUUAUUAUAUCUUAGGUUUUUUUAUCGUAUCAGCUAUUUUUAGGGUUCAUGUCGAUUUUAACUAACCCCCAAUGGUUUCUCAUUUUGUGACUCUUAACUUGUGUAGCUAAAAUUUGGGAGACAAUUAGGGCAUAGGAUUUAAGAGCCUUCUGAAGAAUACAAGGAAUGGCAGAGCAUCAAGAGAAAGUUAAGCACAUUGAGGAGUGUUCAGUUGCAAAGUAAGAACCUUCUGUUUCCUUUCUCUUAUUUCCUUACUCCUAAACUAUUAUGACCAUUGUUAGUCUUCUAGUGCUACAUUGUAGUAGCAAGGAUAGAGAACACAUAUAGCAAGUGAAUACAUAUUUCUGUUUUUGUAUGUUAAUCAAGUCGGCAAUUAGAGUGUCUAGUGACUGAGCCUAUUACUGUGAAGAGACAUUGCAUCCCAAAAACUCGAGUUCUUGGGAGAUGGCGUGAAUGGUGUGGAACUAAACAAGAGAGACUUUGAUUCUUAACAAUUAAGAGUAUACAACACCUGUGGUAUAUCCGUGAAUUACUAGUUUAGUUGCUUUACUGAAUGGCAUAUUAUUAUGGUUUGUGAUGCUUGACGAUACUGAUAGAUAGUUACUUGCUAUUAGCAUAGAAUUCUGACCUGAAUAAUGCUGAAUGUUCAACAUAUGCAGUGCCAUGGGGACAUGGUUCUUUUCAGCAGCUGGGGCUCUGAUAGCGAUUCCAGUUGGGAUAAAGCGCAAGUCAUUAGCUCCACUGGUGUUCUUCGGCACAACGGGGACAAUGCUUGAUAUUAUAAUGGGUAUCAGCCAAUGUGAAAGAGAAUAUGCAGAGCGCCAAGCAUUGCUACUAGAAACCCAGAAUGCGCCAGCAGCAGCAGGUGGUGGAGAUUUCACCGAAACAGUGUCUUCAGACUCAUGACCAUCAGAAGUUUGUUCGCUGCUUCUUUUAAUCCGUCCUAAUUCUGAAUAAAGGAAGAGUAUUAGCUGGGAACUAUUGCAUCGGCUAGUCAAAAGCUUUUAUUUUUGGCAGUACUGGAUACAUACGGAGGCUAGAUACAUAUGCGACUUCAUUUUUGAAAAAUCAAGCUCCGGCGUACAAAAGCCAAGCCAACAGGACAGGACUCCACUCUUUGUGCUCUGAUGUUUCCAAACAAAACUUUUGCUGUCUUUUUUAGUACCGUUUGGUUAGGAGUCAGUAGUUAUUUUUCCUAAUUAUUAGCUAGCCUAUUCAGUAGCUUGUUUAAUGACUCCUACCAUAUGGGAAUGACUGAAUUCAUAUGUCGCUUGAAAAUAUUUCUAUCACUUUGCAGAAAAGACGGCAGUAAAUAAGUCCAGGGCACCAAGAGGUUUAUGCACAAAUUUCAUGUAGUGUGUACAAUUUGAACUCUGGGUCCGAUUGUUUAGCUAAAUUCAGGACAUAGAGUAUUAAUCAUCCCUUAACAGAUACUGUAUCUCAACCAGUUUUGGAGAAUGAGGCUCUGGUAAUGUCUAAUAGUUCUCUGACUUCUCUCCUAAUGCAAGAAAAUGAUUAUGAAUGAAGACAUUGACGGAACCAGAGCAGUGUUCACAUUUCAUACCGAAAUGUACGAUAUAUCUUACUUGCAUGGAGGCAGUUGGAUCACUUUGGCAAUAGAGAGAAGCAGACUUCUGCUUGAACCUGUAACAGUGAAAUGUACGGUGUUGGUCAUUGCUGGCUUUAACUAACCUGUACCAUAAUGGCUUUACUAAAAACACAUUCAUAAUCUAGGCAACUUUGCAGUCUUCAUACCCAUCAUCCAUUUCCAAAGUGGCUGCCAACAGUUAAAAUCCUCCACCAGGUCACUACUGUCUUUUUAACUGGUGUUCUCCUGCUGAUGAACAUCUUCUCCUUCUCAGAAUUUGCUACGAAUCUAAAGUUCAUUACCUGCAAACCCAUUGAAGAGAAUCGUGCAGGAUGUGUUUACCUGCAUAACAUGUCUGAGGUUCAAUCUGUUUGGCUACCUUCCAGUUACGAGACUGCACGUUCUUCUGAUGUACAAAUAAAAACGUUUCUCCAGAUGACAAUCGCAGAAACAAUCAAUAUGAUCUUAUGAAUUAGAUGAUACCUUAAACUCUUGGGACCCCAGGUCAAUGUGAGCCAUUUCUUCGCUAGUUUUCCCACUCUAGGUACCUCAAUGAGUUCUUCAACGCCUACGUUGAUUCAGCCAGAGCUUCAAAUCUAAGGAAGACUACAACUAAUGCUAUAACGGUUUUCGUUCAUCUCAGCCAGCUUUCAUUUAAGCAAGGUAGGCUAUCUCAUGUUUGGCUAAAUGCCAGAUUCUUCUAUUCUAAAUUUGAACCAAAAAUAAGAUACAGCUCCGUACCUUCAGAAAUUAGAGUUUGAUAAGGAUGCACCAAACGAACCAGAGAAGAACACUGCGAACUUCUGUCCUCCACAACUUGUUCAAAUCAUGCGAUCUCACAUCUGAAACCAUAGAUCAAAUAUACGCAAGAGAUGAAAUCAUUGAUUAGCUGAAUCGAAUCUCUGCAACUAGACAACACCGCUGGCAGUUCCAAGAGCUCUGAUCUUCUUCUGCAACACGGACCAAAUGAGAUAGAGUUCUGGUAUUGGAGUAUGACAAAAUCUAACGAUCUUCACUUCUGAAACCAUAGAUCAAAUUCGCACAAGACGAAAUCAUUAAUUAGCAGAAUCUAAGUUCUAAAAACUUACUGUGCAAACAAUAAACCACCGUCGCCAGCUGCAAGAGUUCGAAUCUGCUUGACGUGAAUCGUCUCGGCAACUUGUACAAUGAAAUAGGAGAAGGAAAUUGCUCAGAAUUCUCAGCUUAUCCGAGUACCAUAACGUGGAAAGUCAAACGAAUCGAAAGGACCUUAAGGGUGGUGACUGAAGAUGAGCGGUUGAACGAAAUUGCCGAUGGUGAGACUCGGCUUCGCAGUUAUCGAUCUGAGGACCGUACCAUCGGGACUCGGGAGGAUACUCCCAGUCACCCGUUGCCGGUGGUCUUGGAUUCACCAUGACUUGCUGCUUAAUCUCGGAGGCGGAAGUAGAAUUGGCGUCAAUAAGCGGAAGCGAUCUUGGACGCACUCUCAUUCUAUUCCUUCCGAUUUCAAUUUUUGAACACCUCCAAUUUAAAAGAGUUUCAUCAUUCAAAUUUGAAAUCCUCGCGCUUAAAAUUUUCAUCUCCCGCCAAAUAGAAAUUUAACCAAUUAACCAUUAAAAAAAAAUUAAAAUUUAUUUGGCUAUUAUUAAAAAAGUUUAACAUAGUAAAAUUUUAUUUUUUAGUUAUUCCCAACAUACAUGUCAAAUAUUAAUUAAUUUAAAAAUUAUUAUAUUAAAAUUAUCAAUUUAUGUGUUAUACUAUUGGAAAUUGACUAUUUUCAUAAGAAAAUUUUCAAAUUUUCAAAUCGACUAAUAUUUGACAUACAUACAUGUUGAAAAUAGUUAAAAAAUCAAAUUUUAUUAUGGUAAUCCUUAUCAAUAAUGGUCAAAUAAAGUUAAAAAUUAAUUUUAUAUGAUGUUAUGUUAAUGUUGAAAAUCCAUUUUACUUGGGUUUCAUUAUUGCUACCUAACUCUCUGCAACUCUCCUAACUAUGACAUGGUUCGUUUGCAAGAUUAAUUGUAGAAUGAAAUUUGGAUGAGAAAGAGAAAGUUAAUUCUCAUAAUACAUUUCAUUAGGAUUUAAGUUUCCCGCUCAAAUAAAAAAUACAUAAAAUUCCAUCUCACAUUCCAACUGUCAAACCAACCAUAAAUCGUAAUCUUUUAUAAAAAAAACGUUUUUCAUGAAUAAUCUGCAUAUCUUGUUUUCUAAUUAAACUAAUUGCAUACAAAAUAACCCAUGCACCAUUAUUUGAUUAAUUAGUAGCUAGGUAGAAGCAAAGUGCAUUACAUAUAAAGAGCAUCAAAGCUCAGAAGUAAAAUCUAAAUCUAUAAUUAGACACGUAAGCGUAUAAUAUCAUAAUGCUGCCACGCUGGCAACAGAUCUAUAUCUAGUUAGGGUUUUAUCAGAGACAGAGAAAGCAGCCCGAAAACAUACGUAUAAUUAUCCUCAUCAGGCCGCCGGCGCUAGCAUAUUAUCAGCGUCGUCGUCGUCGUCAUCAUCAUCAUUAUCAUCGCCGUCAUUCUCUGCGACGGCUGGUCGGUUGGUCAACGCGAUGAAGUCGUUCAAUCUGCUGGAGCAGUCAAAUACCGCCGCCAAUUUCUUGCCCCCACAAAUAACCGCCAUUUCCGGAUCUGAUCAGGCACGUGGAAAAAUAUAUAUUAAUAUUAUAGAGAGUAGUUAGGGUAUGAUAGAGAAAAUGAAUCACACAGUACCGCGUAGUCAGGGUAUAUAUAGACACGAUGAUGGACUAUGAAUCUAUGAUCUGAUCAUGAUGCUCUGGUGGUCUCCGCGUCAAGUUGUUCCGGCGGAACCAGAAUGAUUCGAGAUAAUUGGUGGGAUUUCAAAUUUAAAAGCUUAAUUCAUUUGAAAAUUUAAUGUGAAUUUUGAUUACAUAAAUUUAUUACUCCCUCUCGAUUAGGAAUUCAGGUGGCCUAAAUUGGCCACCUCUAAUCCCGCCAAUAGUUUGUGCUAGAUUAGAAAGAUUGAAAGAGAGAAUCGAAACUCUUCUACAAUUGAACUACAACAUAUAUUUGUCAACUUCGUGAAAUUUUUGCGAUACAUAUACUGAAUUAGUAAUUUAGUAUAUCUCGUCGACUUAGACAACUUUUAUCAAUUAGGUAUUCUUUUUAUAAUUAGGUCGUUAUCGCCGAUAGCAAUAAUCGAUCAUUUCGCCGCGGGUGCUCGCACAAAGCGAUAAACGACUAGCCACCAAGUAUACAACAUUUCCAUGGACAAAGAUUAAACUCCCGACCUCAUAGUUAAUGAACGGGUUGAGCAACUAACAAUUUCACAUCUCGUGUUAACUAACACAAAUUCAAUGAAGCAUUUGACAAAAGUGUUUGUAUUAUCAUGAAGGUUAGGAUUGAAUCCAAUCACAAUGCAGUGAACAGGCUCACGACAAUAUCAAGGUCAAGGAUCAUAUUUCAGUACUUUCUGAUACAUUAUUCAUAUAUAAAAAUUGAUUGAAUUAAAUGGGUCAAUUUGAGACUAUCUUACCAUGUACAAGAUCUUCUUCAACCUAGCUACUCACUUUUCCUUUUUAAACUUUGCCCUUUGGCCUCCUUUAUAUCGUUUGGUGAGUGUAGUUUCGAAUUAUAUUCUGUUGACGUGGCUGCUAACAGAGCCAUGCAUUCUGGUGACGUGGAAGGUGUCAGGGCUGGCGGCUGCAUUCCUUGUUCCGACACGUGGAAUCACCCCUCCAUGCACGUUCCAAGCUCUAUAGCUCUCGUGCAUUUCACAAUUCGGUCGGCCCUAGUAGUACCAAAUCAUAGCAGCCAAACCCGACCCCGCGUUGCCUGUUGGGCUUUGGUCAUUGGACUCAUGGCACUUAGGAAGACGCUAUGGGCUUUGAGCCUUACAAAACAAAGGAAUAGGAAAGUACAGGUGUAGUUGGAUUCGUAAAUCGCGGUUUAGUUUUUAUUAGGUGAUGAUGAGCUCGUAUUUCAUCAUUUUUCUGAGGUCAUUAGUUUUGUGAGAUAUUAGAUAUUAGGACGGGAUGAUCAAGUUUAAGCAAAUAUCUAUCGGGAAGACAAUUGAACUGUUGAGGUCUUAGUUAGUCGGCAUUGAUCAUAAUUUACACAUUGGGUACUAUUCAUGAUAUUUCUUCUAGUGAUCCUACUUUAUCGUUAUAUUUAUUGUAUGACUUUUAUGGACGUUUUUCAAUUUCGUUUUAUUAUGAAUGAAAGAUAAAAAAAAAGGGACAAAAGAUUGUUGUCUGAUUUUUAAUAUUAUUUGAAUUAAAUAUAAAAUUACUUGAUUGAUCUUUCAAUCCGGUGUAGUUGACACAAAAUAUGGUCAUCGGAUCUAAAUAAUAAUAUAAUCCAAUUUUAGUUUUAAUAUUGAGGUAGUAUUGAGUAUCUGCAUGUACCAAAAUACUUGUCACGAUUUUCUUAAUUGCCAAUGUCCGAACCGAUUUGGUAAUCUAGGACAAUAUAAUGGAUCAGGAUUAUUACUAGAGAUAUGCUUAAGUACUUAAGUCAGAAUUACGAGGAAAUGGGUUGGCUAAAGUCGUUGACCAAAUGACUAAUAAUUAAGGGUUGCCUACAAUUAUUCACUUAUUAUUUAUAAUCUAAACAAAAAUAUUCGAAUCUUAAUGAAACUACUUCACCUAAUUUUCUCAAAGCAAAGCUCCAAUGACUACUUGUCAAGUCUUACAAAAGUUGAAAGCGAAUCACUUGGCCGACAAUAACAUGUCAACAUCGUCUUGACAUAACACAUUAGUAUUCAUAAGUAUUCCCGAUUGGUCCACAUUCUACAGAGAAUUUAUUAAUUAAUAAAUACCGACNNNNNNNAUUAAUAAAUACCGACAUGUUAAAUUAUAUGUUAAUUUAUUUUACUAUUGGACCGUAUUAAGUAUUAUUCUCGAAACUUUCAAAUAUUAAGUAUUUGUCCCAAAACUCACCAAUGAGACCAAUUAUCAUGGUCGAAAUUGUAAGUUUUAGAACUAAUCCAACGUGUACUGAAUCAGAUGGAAUUUGAAUAAUUUUUAUUUAUGUAUCGAAUAAUCAAUUAACUAUAAUAUUGACGAAUAUAUUUUGAAACCUAAUAUUUAGCACUCAUUACGGGUUUAAUUAAAAUAAAUUAAAACGUGUCAUCGGCGAUUUUGUUUCAUAUAUUUAGAUUGUUUGAACUAUUUUAUUAAUAAAUAUUCGAACUAAAUUUAUGAUUACUACUAAUUAAUAGGUUGGUCAUACGUUAAAUUUGAUAGAUUACUUACUCUAAACAUACAUGGACAAAUCUAAAAAAUCAUCAAAACAUUAUAAAUAAUUUAUUACUCAAUGCUAACGAAUAAAAGAGCCAAGACUCUUCCUAACUCACUCUAAUUCAUACACCAUCAAACACUAAACCACGGUCCGAGAAACAUAAAUACAUGUCCAAGUUUAAUGCUCACCCGGGCUCCCCUUCGUAACAUUUAAAAGUGUGAAUAUGAAUAUGUAACCGAUCCAAAAUUAAAAGACUUUUAUUAACUAUUUGAGUCAUCAAUGUCGACUAUAUCAGCUGCGUAAACCAAUUUACUUGCGUCAAACUCAUCUUGGACACCCCCAUGAAUUUGACUUCUCAUCACCAAAUCCACCAUUGAAUCUUUGACCACCACCAGCUGGUACGUUACUUGAAUCUUACUUACCAGUGAGUUAUUGUAAUACUGCAAAUGACAAAAAUCCCCACUAGCACUCUGUUCCUUCCUCGACUAACCCCUUUUCGAGGUAUUGUUGUAUAUUAAUGGCGGUAACAUGAUUCCCCGGAUGAGGUAGCAUAGCAAGUAGCAGCUCUGUAAAUAAAUAUACAAAAAAACAGAGCCCCAUGCAAAGUCAAACCCUCUUCUUAGUUUCCGUUUCCAUCUCUGUAAAUAUAUUAAUAAAAAACAGAGAGGCAGAGCCAAGCAGGUACAGCUGCACUGCACUGCAUAAUUAAAGCUACUACCCAACAAACUCUCCCCCUUUUCAUUUCGAUUUCCUUACUCCGUACUUCUUCUUCUUCUUCUUCCAUCUCUCUCUUGUUUGUUUGCUGUGUAGAAUUAAUCCCAAUUGGGUUUGGUUUCUGAGUCGGUGGUCUCUCUCUAAACAAGGUGAAACUCUCUCUCUAGCUCUCUUGCUCUCUUGCUCUGCUUCUCCAGCUCUGUUUCUUUAUCUGAAUCACUUGGCUUGCAUAAGUUGAUAACUUGAUCGUCAAAGCUAAAGAUGAUGAAAUUUCUAAUGUCCUGAUCAACUGGGUUUUCUGUUUCUGCUUUCAUUUAGCGUGAAUUUCUCUCUGCAUAAAGGCAGUAGAGAAUCUAUUCUGUUUUGGAAACCUGAAGGUAUGAAGAUAUAUCUUUUUCCUUCAUGUGGGAAAAAUAACAGAAUGAAAGGGAAAAAACUAGUACUGGGUUCUCUGGUUAAUAUCUUUUUUGUUUCUGUGUAGUCAAUUGAUCUUUUAUUAUACUUUCUGAUUGGAUUUAUAACUUGAUCAAGCAUUCAAGCUAUAGAUGAUGGAAUUUUUCCCUGAACUGGGUUUUGGUUUUUGCUUUCAUUCAUGCAACAGUUACUUUCACCGUUUUCCUUUGAUUGUUUUUCUUCUGCUCUAAUUUACAAACCUCAAGUUAUGAAGAUGAUGAAAAAACUAGACACUGUGUUCUCUGGUGAAUCGUUUGAUUGUUUCUGGUUUUCCCAUCGAUCUCCAUAUUAAUUAAUGAAUAAUAUAAAACUGUUUGAAUUCUCCCCUAACAACUUGAGUUAUGGGUAUGCAAUAAUUUAUGACAUUGUAUCACUACAAAAUGUUGGAGUUUUGAGUUUCGAUAGCCUCCAAUUCGUGCACGGGACUUAGCGAAGCCUUGGAAACCAUAAAAGAUCAGGGUUCUGAGUUUCGGUGGUGCUCAAUCCGUGCACAAGACUUAUUGAAGGCCCAUGCAAACUUUAAAGCCUUCGAGAGCGUCCUUUUGAAGGGGGUUUGAUAAUGAAUAAUAUAAAAUUCAUGUUGAACUAUUUUCCAAUAACUCGAGUUAUUGUCAAGUUCUAUUCAGUAACUGAUUAAAGUUGCAUUCUUAUUUUCCCUUGGUCAGUUGGUCUAGCUUGAACCCCAGAGUAGGUAAGAAUGCUGCUUGAGAAUUUAAUGGAAGAGAAGCAACUGGAUCUCAGUCAGCCAUUUUUAUCAGUGAGGAGGGCUGCUUCAUCAACACCAGCAGUUGUUGCAAAAGAAUCAGAGAAGAAAAAACCUGCAACUGGUUCGACCAAGCCUCUGCUGCCACCUCUUCCUCAUUACAAACCAGAUUUGAAAUCAGGACCUAUCAGGGUUCCAGGAACAGUCCCCUUCCUCUGGGAGAGAAGCCCCGGAAGACCAAAGAAUAACGAAACCGUCACCUCUGAUCACAAAGCUCAUCUUCCUCCUGUUGUUCCAAGGCUUCCUCCUGGAAAAAGGGCAUUAAUGUUGAAUGCUCACUCAGAUGCUGCUAGCUCUGAAGAAGGAUCAUCAUCACCAGCAGCUGGAUUCUCCGAUUAUCGGGAAGGAGUAAUGGAGGAGACAAGGAGUGAGGAUUAUGAUGAUAAUGAUGAUGACGACGAGUAUGAGAGGUUUGUGGAUGCACUUGACACACUAUCCAGGACGGAAUCUUCAUUGCUGAACUGCAGCGUUACAGGGAUCACCGGGCUGGAUGCUGUGGAUAUGAGACUGAAUCGAACACUCUCGAGCGAAUUUCAUGCUAAGGAGUUCAUGAUUGGUAGAUUCUUACCUGCUGCGCAAGCAAUGGCGAACGGAAGUCCUCAGUAUUCUCCACAGUAUCCUACCAAGAAGCAGCCCGUUCUACGAGAGCAAACGAGGCAGAUUAUGACACUCAACCAGCCUCCUCCUCUGAAACCUUCGAGGAGAGAUCACAUUGUACCGUACUAUGCACAAUGUGAUACUAAUUCGGUGGACGGGGAUGAUGAUGAUUACAGCGAACCGGACACUUCUUCGCUAGGUGUUUGUGGUUUCUUCCCUAGUUUCUGCUUGCAGAAUCGAUUGAAUCCCGUUCCGGGGAUUAGAACUCCGGCUUCUUCUUUCAGGACCAGACGAGAUAAGGUAUUUCACAGACUUUUGAAUCGAGGCCUUAUGUCGAAAGAAGUAACACUAAUUUGUUGCUGUUUCUUUAUGUAGUAUGAUAAGGCUGCUGAACAUGGGAGAAGAGUAAUGAAUGAACCACCUCGACGACAAUCAGGAAAUCGUAUCGAUGAUUCUCAGACACGGUCCCAGCCGGCUGAUCCGAGUAAUAAUGCUGGAUGGUCUCAUAAUUAUGAAUCUUCUCAACCUAAUGCCUUCAAAGCUAAAGGCUUUCUUGGAGUUCCUGCAGAAAGGCAUAAUAAUAAAGGUUUGGAGACAAUGGGAUCUAUUCUGGCUGUUAAGGAAGUCAUCAGUUUCGCCGAAUUAUUAGCACACGACGAUCUAGAAUGGGAAUCGAGGAAGAAAACACUGCACAUCGAUUCGAAGGUAAGCAAGUCAGAAGAAAAGAUUACUGAAAGUAUUCAAAAGUCUGUACCUUUUGGUGCUUGUGACCGCCCAUCUCCGGACAAUGUAUGUCGACUAAUUCGGUGGACGGGGAUGAUGAUGAUUACAGCGAACCGGACACUUCUUCGCUAGGUGUUUGUGGUUUCUUCCCUAGUUUCUGCUUGCAGAAUCGACUGAAUCCCAUUCCGGGGAUUAGAAAUCCGGCUUCUUCUGUCAGGACCAGACGAAAUAAGGUAUUUUGCAGACUUUUGAAUCGAGGCCUUAUGUCGAAAGAAGUAACACUAAUUUGUUGCUGUUUCUUUAUGUAGUAUGAUAAGGCUGCUGAACAUGGGAGAAGAGUAAUGAAUGAACCACCUCGACAACAAUCCGGAAAUUGUAUCAAUGAUUCUCAGACACGGUCCCAGCCGGCUGAUCCGAGUAAUAAUGCAGGAUGGUCACAUAAUUACCAAUCUUGUCAACCUGAUGUUUUUAUAGCUCAAGGCUUUCUUGGAGUUCCUGCAGAAAGGCAUAAUAAUAAAGGUUUGGAGACAAUGGGAUCUAUUCUGGCUGUUAAGGAAGUCAUCAGUUUCGCCGAAUUAUUAGCACACGACGAUCAAGAAUGGGAAUCGAGGAAGAAAACACUGCACAUCGAUCCAAUCGCAAGCAAGCCUGAAGAAAAGAGCACUGAUGGUGUCGCAAAGUCUGCAUCUUUGAUUGCUUGUGAUCGCCCAUCUCUAGACAAUGUAUCUCGAGCUGAUGUUUGUCGCGAUAAGAACCUUAUGCUUGCUGCUCCUGCAACAUCGGUGAAGAUUCCACCAGCUGAUGAAGUUCGUAAGGAACAAGACGAUUCUUCUCGAGGAUCAGUCAAGGACUCUACAGACUUCACAAGGCGAAAACUCAGUACUGGUCGUGGUGGUGGUGACAGUAACACAAGGCCAAGUCAAAGGAAACCUUGCCCUCUUCCUUUACCAUUACCGAAGUCUCCAUCGGAGUCGUGGCUGAAGAAAGCUCUGCCUACCGUUUCGUCAAGAACUCAGAUGUCGAAAUCUCCGCUUGGCAUGAUUCUCAUGCAUCAUCAUCCAAAAGAAGUUGAAGGUCACAACACAGAUCCAACAUGGGAAACUAUAGUGAAGAGUUCCUGUGAGAAGAACAGGAGGUUUCAGUUCUCUGAGGUAAUUAAUUAACAGACUUUUUUGAUUAAUUUACUUCCCUACUUGACAUUGAUAAGUUGAUAUUUCUGUUUGUACCCUAACAUAUAUCUUUCCUGUAAAGCAGGGCCAACUUACACCAAUACCAGAAGCCUAAGAAGUAUAGAAUCUUUUGUUUUGUUUUGUUUUCUGUAAAUCAUAGCUUACAAAAAGAAAGCUUUGUCUGAAGAAGAAGAAUAAAAGGGAGGUGGAUAAAGUGUACAUAUAUGAUCUGGAAUGCGUGUUUUUCUUUCUGUAAUGACAAGGACAAUGAAUGGGGGGGCCUCCACUUCGAUGCCUAGCCAGCCACCGAGCUUGCUCGACCGAAUCCACCACCUUUGACGAGUUUCGACAGAUCUUUCGAUCUGACAGGCUUCAUCUGUCCUGGCUCGUGACCGCAUCUCCUUAGCCUUCGUCCCGGAACGACAUAAUAGUGUAACGGUUGGUCCCAGAGAGACUUGAUCGUGUAAGAAAUUGGAUUGUUCAUGCAACACGCAAUAAUUCCCUUCCUUACAACUGGGCCAAUAAUUGUAUACAGUUGUUUGAAAGAUGCAAGGACAAUGAAUGAUGGGUUCCUUUUUGGCUGUCACUGGAAUUGGCAUAUGGAAUAACAUUAGUAGGCCAAAGUACAAGCUUUUUCGUCGUUGCCAUGUAGGGUCUCACUCAAAAUCAAAUGGUUCAAUUUGCCAUGAAUUCGAAAGCGAUUUGUCUUGCGAGUGUGUCCUUUCGAACCUUUGACAGAAUGUGAAGUGUUAGGCUAUCGUUAGAGUUGCUUUCCACCACAUUCUUCUGUAUUGUUUGUACCAUUUCACCCUGAUCACCGUAGAACAUCUAGGAACUGACAACUUCGGAUCGUCGUAGCACAGGUACAACUGAUCCUGUUCGUUUUUCGGCAGGUGAUACUUGACUUCUUACUACAUGGGUUGAGUAGGUAUAACUUCAUGUUACGUCUCAUUCUUAGAGGAUGUAACUUUUUCUACCGUCUCUCGUCCAUCUCGCCAAGCGGAACAGGACAACAAAUCCCUUCCCUUAGAACCAUACUUGAGAGUUUUUUUGUCUCAUACGGCUCAGCAGUCAAUUUUUUUAACGCCGCCGCCUCAUUUUUUCUCGAAUUAAGCAAAAAAGGUUAAUUGCAUUUUAUGAGUUUCGAACUUCAUUUUUAUUAUUUGAGAAUAGAGUAAUAAUCCGUUUCAUCUUUUUUCCCACCUUCAGAAGAAAAAAGUGCAAACAUUUUAUUAUCGUUUGAAUUUCAAUACAAAAAGCACAAGUGUUUUACUAUCGUUUGAAUUUUCUUUUAUUGAAAGGUAACUAUCUUAUAAAUUUUUAUUGAAUCUUUGAAAAAACCCUUCCCCAUAAAAAAAAGGCUUCCUAUCUUUGGAAUCUAAUUUUACACUGCUCCCGAAUACUUUAGGGGAUCACCUAUGUUACAUAAGUGGAUUUCUAAAUUUUGUCUCAUAUUAUGACAUAAUUAAGCAAUUUUUAUUAUAUCGACCAAAAAUCUCGCUAAUUGAUCUUUACGACGCUUUCUUUAUCAAUUAGACCUUUAUCCAUAGACUAAAAUAUCUAGGCAUCCUUUUUCUUCAUAUUUCGACUUCUAUGAAGUUUCUUUCCUUGCUACACAGUUGAUAAAAAUCGUUGUUUUGGGCGAUACAUAUGUAGAAAGUCUAUUUUUUUACUAGUCAAAUUUUCUAUUUCCUUUUUUUCUUUCUACGGUAUCCAAAGUCCGAGCGAGAUGAAUUUGCAGCAAUAUCGAUUUCUCUGUUGAGAGUUACUAUUUUUCGCCCUAAAAGUUAAGAAAAUGUCACUCUAAAUAGAUGAAAUGACUUAUAUGCCUUAUUUUUUUAAACAACAACCCGGCUGCCGGAGGCCAAACGAACGGCCGGCGCUCAGACAAUAGCAACAUACUGGUUUGGCAUUGUCAAGCAAUGAAUGCCGAUCCAACUAAAAUUCCCCCUUUCUUCCUUGAAGUAAAUCAUUAUGUACAUAGUCAAGUUGCAUGGUAACUAUUAUUUCAUUCCCAAAGGCUAUAUAUAUCAACAAAACACCUAACCAAUAUUUCUUGUUCUAUGGUGACCACCUCUAACUCAAAUGUUACCCCAUAACCAUAAUGCUCGGUUACACCGACGAAAAAAAACCCUACAAUUCUCAAGUUCGAAUUACCGGACCUUUGUAUAGACCUCUCCGUAUCACAAAGUUAUCAGGAGGUUGGAACUCCUCCAGCCAUGUCACCUCAGAAACUGUUGCACCAUCCACCUCAACUUCACCUUCAUUCACAUAAGAGAGCAUGAAUUAACGAGCCGAGCUUGAGCCUAGGGUAAACUCGAAGAAGAAGAAUUUUUACCAGGUAGGUCUCUUAUUGGUGACACCCGAAAGUAAGAGCAGUGCCUUCCAUGAUCUGAAGAGUAAGGAGGAGAUAGAAUGUCGAAGAUUGCGCAGGGUGUCACAGCCCUGAAACAGUGGAUGUUGCCUCCAGUGGUUGGAUAAAGAACCGUUGCAUUGCAUGGUGCUGUCGUAUCCUCGUCUCUAACAAGCUUGGCAGGUCUUGCUGAAGUUGAUACAAUAGAGGGUAAAUUUUUUUUAAUCUUGAUAGAGCUGAUACGGUUAGUGAAAUUGUGUUAAAUCGAUGUAUAUGCAAACCUUGUGCUGGAUCUGCAGGCUGAGAUGAAUCGAGCCAAUCGUACGACUUCACAUGCAUUGUUCCGUAUACGAGCUUGCUUAAUACUGUCAUUCCGGGAUGGUUAUGAAGAGGUAUGAUGGAAUUCGGUGGCAUGCAGAAAACGCCAAUCUGAAAACAGCGUGGAAAGAUCAGAAAACCAUGGCAAGAAAACAACUUUAUCGAUUCAAUCCCUCGUUCUUAUCCGGGGGACUUACAGAGAAGCUGUCACACUCAUGCAGGUGGAGGUAUUUGAUAGGUGGUAAAGUUUGACGGCGACCAUUUCGUUCUUGCACAGGACCUGACCAAUUGCGUACCAAUUGUGCCUCCUGCUCAAGACCUAUGUCAGAAGGUUUGAUUUUCUCUGCAAUCAACCAUAAGAGGAUUCUAUAAACAAGAGCGUUUGAUAGAUAGAUUAUACGACGAAGGUCAAGUAGUAUACUUUAACAACAAAGAGUCAUAUACUUAGCAGCAGAACCGAAAAUCUCGGGAUUGGCUCAUGUGGAUCAUAAAAUAUCAGCAAUCAGAGGACAUUUUGCAACAGAACAUGGUAACUGGUAAGUACUCAAGUUUCAUCAAUGUUCUGAUAUGAUUUGAUCUAGCUAAGAUCUGCCACCACUGAAGAACACAGUAACAAUGGUGGAAAGCAUCGAGAAACAGUAGUAUUGUCACCCUUAAUGCAUAAUUUUCACCUUAGCUAAUAGAUAGAGCAAUCUUGAAGCAAACAUAUGGAGAAAUGGGAGUACUUACCUAACAUAUUGCGAACCUUUUCAAGCGCUUCUUCCGAAACAGGGCCAUUGGUUGACAAAGACGACUUGCAAGUAUUAUACAGCCUUUGUAUAUAGUAAGGCAUGAUAAUACUAUACAAAAGGCCUUCUUCGAAUCAAAGCCUCGGUUUUCAGGGACCUGCUUGUUGGGACUUCUCCGAGAAACUUCUGAAACGAAGAUUGAAGGAGGAAGGAUGACAAAUUAACUUGUUGCAGGAACUGAGUUGCUUGUAAUGCAUCCGCAUGGCAGUUAUCUCAUCCUUCUCAGCCAAGUUUGACUAACUGGCUUAGCCUGUCUGAACACAAAUAAAAGAGUUAAUUAAACACCACGUCUUAUGGCAUACUACCCUCAAUUGAUACACAGAUCGAGUAAAACCUUACUCAAAUGGAUCAACAAUUUGAAUUGAGCAAAAGUCAAAAGUCAAAAACCAACAACCGGUAAUUCGCAUAGCUCGCAAACCAAGUGAUCUAUGAUUUGGAUGACCAAGUUGACCAGGUAGACCCAUAACCUGAUAAACUCAUGCGUAAUGAACCUCACACCAGCUGGACCCAUGACUCAUAACCAGAUUAACCCAUCUGUGAGCCGGCCAACCUGGCCCUUACAAAGCUCCACAAUCGAACAUAUACUCAAUGCCUCGUGUAAAGCUUUCAGCUUUCUUCCACUAUCCAGCUCACAGUCUACCAAAUCAAAGGAAAAACACGAGAAUCACCUCAAAGAGUUGUAAGCCACAAUACCCUCAUUUCUAUCCAACAUGGCUGAGGUAAAGCUUUCAGAUUCUUCCAAGUUCCAGCUCACAAUCAAUCAAAUUGAAUCCUAAUGGAUUGCCAAACAAAUCAGAAAAUAGCCUAAAACGCCAGAAUCACCUCAAAUUUCAGACAUUCAAAUCCCAAGUAAAGACUGACUGAACAACCCACCAUAUACACACACAAUUUUCAACCUUACAUCACCAUUUUCAACACAAACAAAAUUGGGUGGAAGGGAAUCGUGGAUGAGCUGAGAGAGAGUUUACCUGAAAGAAGAAAUGGAUCCGGGGCUGGGCUUGGCUCGCUCGCUCGCCAAGCGGGAACGAGUAGAAGCGAGCAAGGUAAUGGAGACAAAAAACGGCAAAAGGGAGAAGAUCUUGGACACGUUAUUGGGUACACUUCUGCCUCUUCGCUUGCUCCUAGCAACACUUGUUUAGGCAAAACUAUGGGCUGGAUUUUGGGACUGGGAAUCUGGGAUGGUCAUUUACUCAUUUCGGGUCAAAAUGGUUUGGUUUUCUAUUAAUCAGUCUUGUUUUGUAACUUGACUAAACUUAACGGACUAUUAUGAAUUUUUCCUGCAUCAUCAUCAUACUCUUCCUCUUCAGUCUCUGGUGCCUGAUUGAUUGAUUGUUGAAAACCUUCUGAAGAAGUUAGUUUGGGAAUUUGAUGAACGAAGACCGACCUCGAUUGGUUACAGGCGCGAAGAAUUUUCGAAUCAGCACUGCGAAGCGGACGCAUCUCCCGAUUCAUCACCUUCCCUAAUUCUUGAUCACCGAGAGCAGCGAAGGGUGAGGUGCUGCUCUGAUACAACCAUGGCCGCCUUGGUGGAUGUCACUAAAUCAUGCCUCGAUUCCAUCAUUCAGGUGAAAUUCAUCCACCCAUCUUCGCUCUCAUUGAUUUAUAGCAUGAGGUUUUUUAUUUGCUGUAUUCAUAAAGUGAUGGGAACCAGUCUUCUUGGUUUCGAUAUGGCUGUUGAUGGAAAAUCGUUUGAUAUGUUUGGAGGGAACUUGAUUCAUCCAUUAGCGAACUUGUCAUUAAAUGGAUUUAACUUCUCUGCUGGCAUUUCCACUUCUCUAGUCCAGUUGCUUCAUGGACUCUUGAAUGAGAAAGAAUUUCUUUUUCCUCUCUUGUUUAAUUCUGUUUUCUGUUUCCUGCUGUUCUUUUGUUAGAUGAGAGAACAUUUGGAGGGUGCCAUUAUUUAUCUGGAUUCGGGAUGCACAGAGAGCUUUCAAUUUGCUGGAGCAUUUCCUGUGUUGCUGGACCUUGAAGUUCGAGCUGUGUGCAGCCUUGAAAAUAUGUCUUCUCUUGAUGCGGUAAGUGCGUGGUAGCUUUGUUUUUCUACGUUCAUUGUUGCGUUUUCCCGGUUAUAUAUUGAUUGACAUAAUAAGCAAUAGGGAAGCGUGAGUAGACAAUUCUGGACACAGGACUAUCCAGACUUGCUUGCGCAUUAGUAUCGGACAUUAUAGAAGCAUGCAUGUGUUUUGAAUAAGAUGUGAAUCGUUACAUCUUGACCAUUGUCUUUACGAAUGCCAAAAAUUAUACAGUCUAUAAAAAUCAUAGACCAUAAACAUAUGUUAUAUCUAUAAAGCCAACAUUAGAGUCUUCAUGCGGAAACUGAUACUUGACUUUGUGUUAAUGCAAACACCAAAGUAGUGGAGAGUUACUAUUGGAAAAAAAUACUUGCAUUUGAUGUGGGAUUUAUUUUCUGGCAUAUUGCUUCCUCCUUUGUGUUUUGUUUGUUUCUCAGUCUUCCGAUUUUGCGAUUUAUCCUGGCAUUAAUGAUGUUGAUUUCAUCCUGAAAAAUUGAUUAUGCAUGUAGUUUAUUUCUGCAGGUGGUGAGUUGGAACUCAAACAGUGAUGUUGCAAGGAAGAUCGUGGUUUUUACGUCUCGCUUCUUGAGUGAUGCACAUCGUUACAUCUUACGGUGUCUGAGCACACAUGAGAAUGUUCAGAAAUGUACAGUUUAUACUUCUAUCUCAGAGGUACAUUUUGCGAGUUUAUGUAGGCAUGCUUCUUCAAUACUAAAACCACUGUGCACUGAAAAAUGUUCUCAAUAUCUCAUCUUCAGCAAUGUAUUGAAUUGUGUAAUUUUCCCAAGUACCCCACCCCUUUUGCACCAAACUAAAUGCUUGCAAGUUUUUGUCAAAUGUAGACCUCUCACUCAGCGUAUCCAGAUUCACCUCUGGGGCCGGAUGCUUACCAUGAGUAUGAAUCCUUGCUUCUUCAAGAUUUUGAUGAGCUUGUAAAGAAGGGUGGAAAGAAGGCUGAUUCCGUAGAAGACAUGAAGUUCCAGGGAAAUUUAAGCUUUGAGAAAGAAGGAUGGGCACAACUCACAUUCGAGGAAGAAGGUGCUUCCCGUCUUGAUGCUAGUUCAAGCAGAAGAGAGAACGACAGUAUAGAUUCAAAGUUGGUUGUUUCAGUACACCAUUUCCCAAUGCUUUUGUGUCCUUUGUCCCGUAGAGUCUUCGUCUUACCAUCAGAGGGAUCAGUUGCCGAAGCAUCUUUAUCAUCUGAAAAUGAGGAUUCUCUCAGUCCUGGACUACCAGCAAUCAGUACAGGGGUGCUUGCAGAUAGUGAAGAUGUUCUACCUGGAGCCCUUCUUACUGCACAUUUCCUUUAUCAUUUAGCUGCAAAGGUACGACUAGCAUGCUUAAGCAACCAUGAAGUGCGCCUUUUCCAAUUUGUUCAUAUUCAAAAUUUUAUUAUGUUGUACCAUCAUGGUGGUGGUGGUACAUGGUUGUCUUUUUCAAUUACUACAGAAUAAUGGUUUGGAAGACGGUAUUUCUUAGAUUCAUUUAUCCCAGUAUCUAAUUUUGUUAAGAAAAAUUAACGAAGCAGAUUCUUUUGUCUAUUUGUGAAAGUGGUUUGUUAGCUUUCUCUUGCUGAUUUUGUAUAUAUGCGAUGGCCAGACCACAUCUGCAAGUCAUUCAUACAUAGCUCAGAAUGUGCUCUUGUUCGCCAAACAACUUUCUUCUUCCUGAGUAUUGUCUUUUAAGCGCAGAUGGAUCUAAAGCUGGAAAUAUUUUCCCUUGGAGAUCUUUCAAAGACAGUUGGCAAGAUUAUGACAGACAUGUCAAGUCUAUAUGAUGUGGGCCGUCGGAAGCGUUCAGCAGGGUUGUUGAUAAUUGACCGGACGCUGGAUCUCCUCACUCCAUGCUUCCAUGCGGAUUCACUUGUUGACCGCAUGUUCUCAGCUUUACCCAGAAGGGAGAGAGUAUCCCAGUCUCAGGUCAAAGACUCACAGAGCCAGCUCAAACUCCGUUCUUCAAACCUACAACGUGCUCCUCUUGGUGUAAAGAUACCGCUUGCAGAAAUAUUAAGCGAUGAAAUAAAGGAGUGUCAGCUUUUAGAAAGAAUCGAAGCUUUCCUAGAUGGUUGGGAUACCCAGAAAUCUUCUCUUCCCGUUGCUCAACUGUUUAAUGGAUCCUUCGUCUCCACUGAAAGUUUUCUGGGCACGGCAUUUAUGGAGGCCUUAUUAGAUAGAAGAACCAAAGAUGGAGCAUUGCUGGUUAAAAGGUGGCUGCAGGAAACCCUGCAUCGUGAAAAAAUCAGUUUAGGUUCUAAAACUCGUUCCGGGUUCGCUUCAGCUGAAGUCCAAGCAAUGGUAAAAGCACUGGCGAAAAACCAAUCUUCAUUGGUGAAAAACAAAGGAGUUAUCCUGUUGGCAGCUGCUGCAAUUUCAGCCUUUGAAGCAUCAUUUUCUGCUCGAUGGGAUGCAUUCAUCAGUGCCGAGAAAAUACUAAAUGCAAGCGCUGAAGACACGAGCCAGAAUCUUGCUGCUCAAAUCGUCGAUCUUGUUAACAAGAGUGGUUUAAUUGGAGGAAUGGAAUCCUCACAAGGAUUGAUUUCUUUCCAAGAUGCAUUGCUGCUCAUGAUUGCUGGUUACAUGUUAGCCGGCGAGAAUUUCCCUACAUCAGGGUCAGGAGGUCCCUUUUCGUGGCAAGAGGAGCACUUCAUGAAAGAAGCCGUCGUAGAAGUGAUCCUCGAAAAGGCGCCAGUAGCCAAGCUUAAGUUUCUCGAAGGUCUAAAGGAAGCGCUUGAGGCAAACUUAAACAGACUGAGAUCCAAAGACGCUGCUGAAUCAUCGGAGGAUCACAUCGACCUUGAUGAUUUGGAUGAUGACCAAUGGGGUAAGUGGGGCGACGAGGAAGAAGAAGAAGAAGCCAUUGAUAAGAAGAACAAAGAUCAGUUGUACGACGACAUGCAGCUGAAGCUGGAGUUACGUGAUAAAGUCGAUAGCUUCUUCAAGUUCCUCCACAAGUUAUCCAUGGUGAGGAUGAAGAGCGUUCCGUUGAAGGACGGUUUGUUCUCGGGGGGAAGCAAUUUCGGAGGCGAGACGGACUUGUACAGAGGAUUGUUAUACAAGGUACUGACAAGAGUGUUGAGCAAAGCUGAUAUUCCGGGAAUGGAGUACCAUUCCUCAACCGUCGGCAGACUGUUCAAGAGUAGUUUUGGAAGGUUUGUUGGACAGGUAAGUUUUUCUACACAAAAUCGCACAUUCGACAUCUUCAAAACAAUGUGGUAGUCACCGGAUCUCGCGGUUCUUAUUUUUCUUGCAGGCGAAGCCAAGCCUAGGAGAUCAGAACAUCAUUAUGGUUUUCGUCGUUGGAGGCAUCAACGCUGUUGAGGUAUAUCCCUAGCCCUUAGUCUAGGGCUGUUUACGAACCAAACCAAACCGAGCUCAUUGAACCAUUUCCUGUUCUGGUUCUCGAUUAACACACAGAAUUGGAUUCCUACUGAUCGUUCUUCGUUGCGUUCAGGUGCUGGAAGUUCAGGAGGCUUUGUCGGAAAGCGAAAGGCCAGAUGUGGAACUGAUUCUUGGGGGAACGACAAUCCUUACACCAGAUGAUAUGUUUGAUUUGCUGAUUGGAGAAUCCAGUUACUUGUGAACCAGUAACAGAAAGUUUCCUUUUGUUUUUCUUUUUUUGCUAGCACAGAAGAUACUGCUUAAGUACUAACAUAGCGUCUGCAAACUUCGUUGAACUGAUAGAUUUUCGACCAUUGUAAAGUAGAUUCAAAAUUCAAUAUUUAAAUUUAAUGGUGUUACUAAACACGAUUAUCCAAAAUAAUGACUAUUAGCACUGCUAUAAAAAUCUCUAUGAAUAGAGAUCACAUCCUUGCAACUCGCCUUCUCUCGUUCUCUACAUUUUCUUCAAUCUACGAGUCAGCAGUGACAAUUUAAAUCUAUCGGCCUGAAACCGUCUCGAGUUCUUCCUCAUACUUGCUUGUCCUGAUCAGCAUGACCCCUAGCAAAUCACUUUAGCCAUUCAAUGAUGUGUUUGGUGCUUUUAGUGUGGAUUUGGCAGGUAGAUAGUGAAGGAACACAAAGCUAGUGUUUUCUAGGCUAUUAUGACAAUGGAGCACUCGUUGUGUGGCAGCUGGUGGCGUGGUGGUCCUGUGUGGUGAUAAUAGAGCUGCCCACAUAAUGGUAAGAUGAACUCUUUCACAUCUCUAAAACCGUGUGAGACAAAUCUCACAAUUUAGAUAGAUAUCGUAACUUAUCUUUCAUGUAUGCUAUAUAUUUCGAUUCCUCCCAAGGCUAUUGACGUAGAAAAAAAGACUGAAACUGAAAUCGGAGAUCCGAGUCAGCAAUUUCAAGUCGUAAACUUUUCAAAAAUGAGUCAACUGCAUGUUUUCCAUUGUUAACAAACCGUCGCCUCCCCUCGCAUGACGCAGAACAAACGAAACGCUUCCUGUAAUUUCCUCUGUCUCUACAUUUCAAACGAUUCUCAAACAGGUAUAAAUAACGCCAUCAUCAUAUCCUUUCACGUUCCAACUCCCCGCACAGCCAUGGAUCGCGGCUUGACCAACUACUUCCAUCUCAACAUGAUCGCCACAGUAACAACCACCAAACCCACCGGACUCCAAGCCGUAACCACCAGACUCAUCAACAGAGGCUUCCUUCUCAACCGCUGGCACAUGCUCACCGACGGACUCGCAACUCUGCACAUGCGGAGGAUCGCCAAGACCAUGGGAAUCCCGUUUCAUGGCGCGAUGGCGAAGAAGGUGUUGGAAACCUCGAUCAGCCUCUCCGAGAUCGGACGUACUUUCGCUGUCAAAGGCGGGCAGCCGUUCGUGACUGUUGUUGUCGCUGUCGAAAAUGGCGAAGUGACUCGAGUUGUGGGGGAGUUUGAUCGGGGUGAUGAGGAACUUGAUGAUGGUUGGGAUACUGAAGAGGAGGAUUGAGUCUAUACAUUGUGCGUUUUGUGUUUUGUGUUUCUGCGUUUUGUUUGUUCUGUGGACAAGUCAGUGUUAUGUGUGUUUUCUUCAGAAACGGUCAACGAAAUGAUGAAACAAAUGAGUAGGUUUCUUGCAGUGCAAGUACACCAUUCCACAGAUUCUCGAAAUGACCAUGUUCUUCUUAGGAUCCGUUCAUCUUAUUGCGUCGAAAUCAGAAUGAUUUAGUAUAUACAAGUUCUGAAUUCCUUUAUCUUAUACGAUCUAUAUUACCUCAACCACAUAUACAUUAGGCGUUACACAACAUUUGUCGAGAUAAAUUUACACUAACAUCUAGAAUUUUUGGAUGGACCGGACCAAGGUGUAACAGGCCCACGAUUGGGCCCUCCCGAAUUGACUCGUUUGUUUAGUGAGGCCCGCAAUUAAUAUUAUAUCCGUGGAAUGGGACUAGUUUUGUCUUAUUAUAGGUGUGGGGCAUUGUUCAGCGGGGUCAAAACAUAUUUCCACUCAGUCAAAUCCUCAGACCUCACGGACCUGCACAGCAGCAGGAUAUUAUCACAUAUGUUUGCAUGCUUCAUCACCCUUGCACUCUGCUUACAUUGCAGCUUGGUCAUUAUCCUUCUAUAUAUUACAGUAUUAGGCAUGUCAAAAAUUUGUCAGUCGACGAAAUCGCAAGCCACCAAUAGAUAAGUUGUGCAUUAGUUUAUCACACCACUAAGAAAUUUGUCUUAUGUACAUCGAUAGAUAGAUUUUCCGAUAGUAUACAAGCUCGUCUGAUAAUUCGAAUUCGUCUCGUUGAUUACACACUUUGCCUAAGGAGUAAUAGUAUGAACCAAAUUGAAAUAAUGAAAUAUUACAGGCACUAAAAUGCAAAGGUAAGGAAAACACAGUCAGUCCCUGACUCCCUCUCUGUUCCCCGCGCUAGAAAAACAAGAGAAAAAAUGGGUACACACACAGAAAUUCCCAACUGUUCAAACCACAAAGCAGCAGCGAGCUUCGUCACUCACUCACACUCACACUCACAGAGCGAAAAGGGAGGGGGGGGGGGGGGGGGGGAAACAACACCAUUCCCCACAAAAAAUUAUUAUACACGGUCUUCAUGUAUUCACGGGGGGGGGGGGGGGGGGGGGGGGGGGGGGGGGGGGGGGGGGGGGGGGGGGGGGGGGGGGGGGGGGGGGGGGGGGGGGGGGGGGGGGGGGGGGGGGGGGGGGGGGGGGGGAGUAUGAGGGGGGGGGGGGGGGGGGGGGGGGGGUGCGGGGGGGGGCGGGGGGGGGGGGGGGGGGGGGGGGAAGAAAUUACACCUUGACCUCCAAUAAUUCAUUUAUACGGUCUCAGAGUCUUCCCGCACGAGCUCCGGCGACAGUACGACGGACAGAUUUUGACUGUCAGAGAUGGUAGCCGACGACGAUGAUUACAGAAGGAAAGCUCGCCUUGCACUGCUGGCCGUCGUGGUGAUCUCCUCCAUGGCCAUCUCUGCUCUUCUCGUUGCGUUUAGCUACUACUGCUACAUUCGUAACAAGGUCUCCCGACGCCUUGCGAGCCGGAAGAGUAAGUCACGGUCCCAUUUCUUUCUUUGUAAUGUGUAGGAAAAUAUAAGGGAAAAUGUUUGAGAGAAGUCGUCUUUUCUUGCUGUUUGUGUCAUUUGCUGCUAUUUUGGUGCUAGAAAAUGUGAUUGUUGAAAUAGGGAAAUGUUAAUUCGUCUCUGUAAAUGGAGCAUUGAAAAACCCUAGCCAUAUCUGGAGCUCUAGAUUGAUCAGUAGUAUGUUUUUUCAAGGGAGAUCUUUGUUACUUGUAUUCAAUUUUUCCUGUUCUGUUUUCUUUCGUUCUAGGGUUUGAUAACGAUGAUGAUGGUGGCUUUUCUGGUGUUGAAGUGACCACUGACAAAGGACUUCAUGUGUUCACAUUCAAGCAGCUUCAUUCUGCUACUGGUGGCUUCAGCAAGUCGAAUGUAGUAGGUCAUGGUGGAUUUGGCUCGGUCUAUCGUGGUGUUCUUAGUAAUGGAAGGAAAGUUGCAAUUAAGGUCAUGGAUCAAGAAGGGAAGCAGGGAGAAGAAGAAUUUGAAGUGGAGGUUCUUGUCUGUCUUUCGCUUUUCCAACUCGGUUUUUUCCAAUUUCUUCAUCCAUCUAUUCUUGUUAGGUUCAAGUAUGAGGGUGAUUACAUCUGCAUUCUUGUUUAAUUACAGGUAGAACUGUUGAGUCGGCUGCGCUCCCCGUACUUGUUAGCAUUAAUGGGGUACUGCUCGGGCAACAAUCGUAAGCUGCUAGUUUACGAUUUCAUGGCGAACGGUGGCCUGCAAGAACAUUUGUAUCCUCUCCCUGGUAAGUUCGAGCUGAAUUGAAAAUGUUUGCUGAACUUGUGGAUCUCUAUUACACUUCUUUCUAUGGUGCUAGACUAUAUGUUGAUGUCUUAGAAUAUGCAGGAUCAAAUGCGACAUACAGGAAGUUGGACUGGGAAACAAGGCUGAGAAUCGCCCUAGAAGCUGCAAAGGGCUUGGAAUAUCUCCAUGAACAUGUCAGUCCUCCGGUCAUUCACAGAGACUUCAAGAGCAGCAAUAUCCUCCUAGACAAAAGCUUCCACGCCAAAGUUUCCGAUUUCGGAUUAGCCAAGCUGGGACCCGACAGAGUUAGUGAGCAUGUCUCCACUCGAGUCCUUGGCACUCAAGGAUAUGUUGCCCCCGAGUAAAGAAACCUUUACACACAUUAUGAUAUUUCCCACAACUUAUACUCAUAGUUACACUAUCAAUCGAAUCUUCAAAUUCAUUACAGGUACGCAUUAACAGGGCACUUGACCACAAAGUCAGACGUCUACAGCUACGGUGUGGUUCUGCUGGAGUUGCUCACCGGGAGAGUUCCGGUCGACAUGAAGAGACCAUUUGGCGAAGGCGUUCUCGUAUCUUGGGUAAGAAGAAAUCUUAUCUUGUGUCCAUUUAGUUGAUGGAUCUGUAUCCAGUACUCAACCAGUUUAUACCGUUUUGAUUCCAUAAAACAGGCGCUACCAAGGCUGACAGACAGAGAUCAGGUUCUCCAGAUAAUGGAUCCAGCGUUGGAAGGUCAGUACUCUAUGAAAGAGGUUGUUCAAGUAGCAGCAAUCGCGGCAAUGUGCGUUCAAGCGGAGGCAGAUUAUAGGCCAUUGAUGGCUGAUGUGGUGCAGUCGUUAGUCCCACUGGUUCGAUCGACUUCGAAGUUGGGAACUUGCUCUAGCUUCCAUGCUCCCAAGUCUCCUAUGCCACAGGAAGUUGGUAGAGCAAGAGUUUAGAGAGAGAUUUCCUUUACUAAAAACAAUGUAUCCAAAGUUAACUGAAGCCCUUCUAUGGUCAGCCCAAUAAGUGUUGGGCUUGAUCGAAUUGCCUUCUACUCAGGUCUCAGGCCCAGUAUGACCAGUAUUGAUCGUUACAACUAAUUUUUUUGUUUGAUUUGGUUAGCUACUUUAUUUAGUUCGGUUAACUUUGGAUAAGCGUGUUAAACCAUUAACCAUUUAGAAUUUUAAUGGUUAUUUUGGUCAACCAAACUAAGCUCAGUACUUCAGAAUGGUUUGGUUCCAACAUGAUAACCAAAUUGACGGUCUUAAUCCAACAAAUAGCGACUCGUGGAUUGGGAAUUUUGUUAACGGAAUGGGUUGAACACGUGUAGUUGAUGAUAUGUGGUUUAACUAUUUAAACUAUUAUAAACUGAAGCCAUAUCAUAAUUACAUAGGGUUGUGUCACAACUUAUUGAUAAUUGGUUGACGGUUCAUUCUAUGGGACCUAGUUUUGAUAACACUGGUUAGCGGUUACUUCAGAACGGAGUACCAUUUUGCUAAAUUGAAAACCCCGAAGGACUUGUUAGUAACGAAUCCCCGAGUUAGAUGACUAUUUCUAUAAUUAUUCCUGACCUCUUCAUAAACCCUAGAUAGGAAAGGAGGAGUAUAUAAGACUAAGAGCUUUCUCUGUCUCCAUUCUUAUCUCCGAAACUCAGCAACGGUGGCAGCUCUCAGAUUUCUCCUCCAGAAGCAGCAUCCGUGAAGAAGCUCUCCAAUGGUGUGUGUGUGUGUCUCUCUCUCUCCCCGUCAUCGUAUUUGUUCAGCUCAGUGGUUUCAUAUCCGCGUGUUCUAACAUUAUCGAUGUAAUGCUGAAACACAGGCGGCCGAGAGGAAGCUUAGUAACCCUAUGAGGGAAAUCAAGGUCCAGAAGCUGGUCCUCAACAUAUCCGUCGGCGAGAGCGGCGAUCGCCUCACCAGAGCUGCUAAGGUGACAAUCUUCCCGCCGCCGCGGGUAUGUUUUGUUCUUUUAUGUUCGUUCUUCUUUGACCUGAGUAUUUGAUUUUUCUUCGUUGCAGGUGUUGGAACAACUCAGUGGACAGACCCCUGUCUUCUCCAAAGGUAUUGCUCCUUACUUUGGUUUGGAUUCGAGUUAUUGUUAAGCUGAUCUAUGUUGUUUUCAAUUAGGGUGGUAGGGUUUCUCAGAGUGUUUGAACUUGUUGAGCUGCCUAAUUCAAAUGAUGUUAGUUAGGCCUUUAUUAGGAAAAUGAGCUUGCAGCUUCAUCAGAAAGAAGCUAGAUGUGAAAAAUGAUUGCAUACUAUCUGAAAAAUGAGUUCCAUUCCUAAACAUCAAUCUGUAAUCCUCUCUUGUAAUGAGAUUCACAGUCUAGGGUUGUAGCUGACUUGAGUACAUUUGUGAUCAAUAGCAAGGUACACUGUUAGGUCCUUUGGUAUCAGGCGUAAUGAGAAGAUUGCCUGCUAUGUCACUGUGAGAGGAGACAAGGCGAUGCAACUGUUGGAAAGUGGAUUGAAGGUGAAGGAGUACGAACUCCUCAGGAGGAACUUUAGCGAUACUGGAUGCUUUGGGUUCGGUAUUCAGGAGCACAUUGAUUUGGGUAUCAAGUAAGUUACUUAUUGAUCUUUGUUCUCCCACCUUGGAACAUUUUAUGCCGACUCACAUACUAAGAUUUUUUGUUCAAGUGUUUCAAUGCAAGUUUGAUAGACAUAGUUAAAUUGUCCAAUAUUGUGAUCUUUUAGUAUGCAUCUCUGUAUUGUUUACUGAACAUUAGUCUUGUGACAGUUGCCAGACCUCUAUAGUGUGCCUGAUUUGCAUUCUAAAUGUAAAAAACAUAAAGCUUCCCAAGUCUUUAAGCUUUGAUUUUGAGAAUUUCACCUAGGGUUUUGUCACUCCAUACUUCGAAGAAUGAUGUAAUGAAUUGGGCAUGUUCAAAAAUUGUUGAAUUGUUGUAAUUUUUUGCUAAUUACACUGGUUGUCUAACCUGUUUCCAACGUUACCAGGUACGAUCCUUCCACUGGUAUUUACGGAAUGGACUUCUUUGUCGUCCUCGAGCGACCUGGGUACCGUGUUGCCCGUCGCCGUAGGUGCAAGGCCCGCGUUGGUAUUCACCAGAGGGUAACCAAGGAUGAUGCCAUGAAGUGGUUCCAGGUCAAAUAUGAAGGAGUUAUCCUCAACAAGGCUCAGAACAUUACUGGUUAAAUUCAAAGCUGCUAGUUGAACCCCUUUUAUUUAGCUUAAACCCCGAGACCCUAAAUUUUGAGACUUGUUAUGUUUGUAUGAAAUUGUGUUUCAACUUGGUUGUGUGAUCAUUCCCCGUCAGUUUUCAUUUGAUUGAAGGGAACUUGUUCGAUCUUUGCUUCAUCUCUGUGAUGCUGAGUUUCGGUCUUCUUUCGAGCACUUGUUUAGUAAUAAUUAGCGUUAAAGUAGUUAAUCUGUACUAAUACAAACAUGGAGCGGCUUGCCUCGAAAGUCCGCAAGGACCCGACUAUGUCGAUGUUAUGUUUGGCUCCUUGUCGUGCAUGACACCCUACUCACUCGUGGCUAUAUUUCUUUAUCUUUCAUCCAUCCUAGAAUCAACAGCUCGUGGCCAAGCAAGUCGGACUUGACUUGCUCCCAUUGGAUUGGAACCACUGAACUUACAUUUCAAGCCUUUUAUAAAACAUUCCUUUUAUGGAUGAAUAGUAAUACACGAAAGCUUUCGUGUAAAAAGAACGAAGUCAACUCUUGAUGAUUUCGACUUCACGAUGGCACUGGUUUGGCUGAACGAUCUGAUUCUGUUUGAUAACGAUGGCCAAAUUUAAGCAAGAAAACCGUGGUCCGUAAACUAGCUAACUUGAACUACAUUCCAAAUUGGCAUCGCCCUGGCUGAAUGAUCCGAUUCCGUUUGAUAACAAUGGCCAAAUUUGAGGAGAAAAAAACCUAAUCCGUAAACAACUAGCUAUCUCGGAGUAGAUUCCAAUUUCAGACAAGGUUAUUGACCUUGUUCUGAUUCUAUAAACUUCUAAAUCAUCAUGUUCGAAGGUUAAUGUAUGUUUUGUCUAGUGUUCUUCGAACAAAAAAUGAGGAUUUGUUGGUUAAGUCACGCGAACCAACCCAAGCGGACAGCCAGCUGGAUGUCUGGGAGAGGCCCCUCACAGAUCCACCUUUUCUCCCACCCACGUGACUCCCGCCUCAAACUCACGUGACGUCACGCCACUUUUCCAUUUCCUACCUUCACUCACCUUUUUUCACGUCAGAUCCUGUCUGUUUGACGUAAUUAAUAUAUGGUCACUAGCUCAUAAAAACAUUCAUAUUAUUAACUACCUCAAUCUCGAUAAUUCGAUCGUGCACAACCAAUGACAUUGUUAAGAUUUCUAUCAAAUAUAUUAGUAAUAUCUACCAUGAUCCAUGUUGAGUGUUAAAAUUUAAUUAUCUCAAAUACAUAUGCUCGACUAGAUACAAAAUAAUCAAGGAUAUCUCAUUAAUAUAGACUUUUCGGUAAACUGGAUAUAAUCUGUGUAUACCAAAAGAUCUUAAUUAAUUAUCAUCUAAUGCAAUGUCUUGCAUAAAUUAAAAUAAGAGUGUUAAUUAUUUUUAUCGAAGAUAGAUGUCAAAUGGUUUAGACAUUCCAUGUUACAGGGUGAUACCUUUUAUGUGUUGAAGUUUUGUAAAGACAUUUUAUUUCAACCAUUUGAGAUCAAGUAAGGAAAUUUCUAAAGUUAAGGGAGGUUGAUUCUUGGCUGGGAAAGUUAAGUGAUCAAAUCAUAAUUAGCUAAACUUACCAAUUUGCCGAAGAUGCAAUGAAGUUUCCUAACUUUAGGAUCUAUCUAUAAAUUUCAAAAAGUAAUGAGUCAAAACGUACAAAUACUUCAUUAUAACCUUUUUUUCUCAAAUAACUAAAAAAGUAUAUGAGAAUUACUCGUAAUAUUUUCGAGAGAUAUUCAAAAGGUAGACAUAUCAUAUAUUAGACGAAUGUCGGUUGAAUGAAAAAUUUAUCGUUGACAGAUUUUCAGGAUAGAUUUCUAACACGAGAGCGAUUUUUUCGGCAAUAACACCAUUAUUGACAAGAAAGUGUAUUCGCAUGAACACAACUACCAAUUUGAAUCUCUCAAUGUCUAUUGGAAAAAAAUUGAUAGUACCACAUAUAGACAGAUAUCAUAAAAUAUUAAUAACUCGUCUAAUGAAUGAUUAAAAAUUUCUAAAUAUAGAUAUUAACAAUAUGAAACGAUUCCUUUAAAGUUACGGAAAAUCCAUCCGAACGCGUCAAUUUACGGGUUAGUAACCGUUUCUUACGUCAAUUAUGGUAAUUAAGACCGUAAAAAGAAGAGAGAUCAAAUGUAAGAAAACGGAAAAGGAAAAAAAACAAAGCGAUCUCCCUCUCUCUCUCUCUUCGUUUCUUUUCUCCUUCCUUGCGUUCCAAUCUCCGCCAUCGCUACUCCUCUCUCUCUGUCUCUCUCUCUCUCUCUCUCUCUCUCUCUCUCUCUCUGCGUGUGUCGCUCGCGUUCACUGUGUACCUACCGACUGUACAAACGUGAGUCCCGAAGAACUAGCAAAGGAGAUUUGCAGCUGUUCUUGCGGCCCGGUGCUGCCAAUCCUAAUCAACUUCGUUUUGAUCACUUCUUUCUUCUAGCUCGAAAACGCUCCAUCCACUAGCUUAGGCCGGAGCCGGUAGUGAAGGUACAGGGACGGUGUGUUUGAGAUUGAGAUGAUUCUGAUUCAUCCAAAGUAGUGCUGAGACUCAAAUGCUAUUAGUUGGAGUGGGAGCUUUUGGAGAUUUCUCUCUGGCUUGGAUCUGCUGCUGGUAAAGCAUCCUCCAUUGUUCUUCAGUUGCUUUGAUCUUGUUAUCUUGGAUUCAAUAUGUGCGUUUCUUCGUUUGAAUCCGAGUUUGUUGCCGUUGUCGUGGUGCUCAUUGUCUGGCUAUUCCAUCGCCAACCGUGUCACAUUGUAGAAUCAACCAUUGGUUAUUGUUGAGUUGAGCUGUGAUUGAUUUCCUGUUUAGUUUUCUCGAGAUUUCUUUGAUCGAUUAGUUAAGGACUGGAAGAAUUUUUUAUUGGAGAACUGUUCUGGUAUAGAAUGACAGCGAUGGGACUGUGUUAUAGUGAUUCUCUUCAUGAUAAUAAAUUUAGCGGAACUGUGGAACUGCAAGUCAAUAAAGAUCACAGCGGUGUGAUUAAGUAUAGCUGUAAUGAACUGAGGUAUUGCCGGAAUCGACUGUUCCAGCAGCUGUGAAGUGUUAAGUUCUUGAUUGAUUUUGGGAGUUCUUGAAAUGGAAUCUGAACAUCUGUAAUGGAAACUAGUUAUUCUUGCUGAUCUAGCUCGAGAAUUCUGUGAUAGCAAGACACCGUGUCCUGAUGUUAGUAGUUGAAUGUUGUCAAAUGUCCACUGCUCUUCUUUAGUGUUUAAUGUCGUCUUGUUUGAAAGGGUUUGCAGGUCAAAUGUCCACUGGCUUCACUACAAUGGAAAUGGGAAGGUUUAUUGUAAGGUCUGAAGUUGUUCAAGAACUAUUGUCAUGUUGAGUAAGUUCUUUUCGAGGCGAGGAGUGGAGUUGAAAUGGUUAUACAUUCCAAAUCUCUAAGAAAAUGGAGGAGAUGCGAGAUGAUUCAGGGUCAGCAGAGCAAGGGCCUUCUGGUGCAGCAUGGUGGGGUUCUGAUUUUAUGGAGAAAUUUGGCUCUGUUUCGAUGCAUCCCCAAGAGGAUAGUUUGAGUAAUAAAGAAUCACCUCGAACUCAUGAAGAAGAUAGCUUAUCUUCACAGACUGCGUCACAAGUUUUAUGGAGCAUUGGAAUGCUUUCUGAACCAAUACCAAAUGGCUUCUACUCUGUCCAACCUGUGAGAUUCUACUUUAAGCUGUCUUAAUCACUGCAUCUAAUAUUUUAUACGAAAUAUCAUUUUCGUAUUUUGGUAGCUGGUGUUUUCAUCUUGGAAAAGAAAACCCUGUUUUUGAGUAUUUUGGAUCUUCUGUACUUGUCUGAUCUUGACCAAGUAUGAACUAUGAUGCUCAUUUGUUCACACGAUGUAUAGGUUUUGUAUAUUUGGUUCGACAUGUGAGUGCCAUUUAACGCACAUGAAUAAGGAUAUGUGGAAUUGCAGAUGGUGCACCCAUGGUAGUGUUAGCAAAUCCUCCUUGGAUAUAUGAAUGAUCCCUUAUUCUUCGUGUUUAUGAGCUUACCUGGUAAUCUGAAAAGAAUGCUCGCUCUUUGUCAUCAACUUCUUUCCCUUACACAUUAUAUGGUAAGAAUAACUUAUUUUCAAGGCUUUUCAAACAUCCUUAGUGUACAAUAGGAAAAUGCCAGAUUCCUACUUAACAAACAAAAAAUGCAAGAUUCCUGCUGAUAGCUCACAACUUACCAUUUACAGUUUAUAUACUAUUGGAAUGCUUUUUUAGUUUUUCAUGAUGCCAAGGAAGAGAAAAAUGGUAUUCAUCUGGUGCUUAAUGUUAUGGUGUAUUCAGACAGUUGAGCGACUUCACGUCUUCUUUGGGAUUUCUGUUUAUCUGAGUACAUGAGAGCUACUUACUUAGGUGUCCGUGGUGAUUAUCUCAAUCUCAACCAAACGAGGCAAAAUUUUGUUUCACAUUUGAAUUUCUGAGCUCCAAAUACAGAUGCUGGCUGAUUAUGUCAGCUUCUUAUAAGUUGGUCUGUCUUCAACGUUUUGGUAAUGACUGACUGAGAUGGUUCUGGAUACCAUUUAUUUAUGUAGAUGAAAUUUUGCAUGUGCUGGUCUUGCAGUGCUGAUUUUUUUCCAUCUACAUAUGGAGUUAAUUGAAUUGCAGCAACAGAGCAAAGUUACACAGAGGUUCAAACUUCCUUUGUAUGCUUAUUGACCAAUAUCGGUUUUGGCAGGAUAAAAGACUCAAGGAGCAUUUUGAGAGCCUUCCAACCUUGGAUGAACUCCAUGCUCUUGGAAAUGAGGCUCUCAGGGCGGAUGUAAUUGUUGUAGAUGCUAAGAAAGAUAAGAAGCUGUCAAUGUUGAAGCAGUUAAUUGUGACACUGGUGAGAGGAUUGAGUGCUAAUCCUGCUUCUAUGAUAAAGAAGAUAGCUGGACUGGUAGGAUAAUUUCUCAUAACUAUCAUUGUAUUGUCUGUAUUUUCUUAUAGCACUUUGUCAUGCUAUGAGUCUCUCUUUCAUUUUACCUUACGCAUAUGUAGGUGUUGGCACUUCUUCUGUCUUGUCAUAUUUUGAUGAUGCCAUGGAUUCUACUUUUGGCCUGUAUUUAUCAGAUAGAAAUGGUUUCUUUGGAUAACAGUGUCUUGUUUCUUGUAAUGUUCAAUGAUUUUUCUGUACUAUUAACACAUGUUUCUACCUGUUAAUUGCUUCCACAGGUGUCUGACUUUCACAAAAGACCUAGUGUUGGAAGUCCUGCAAGAACUUGUGCAGAAGAAACUUAUCACAUGCUUCAGAACCGAGGUGUUCAAUUACUUGGGCAAAUAAAGCAUGGUUCAUGCCGUCCUCGAGCUAUUUUGUUCAAAGUUCUAGCAGACACUGUAGGUCUUGAAAGUAGGCUUGUGGUGGUGAGUUUUUCAGAUUUGUCUUAGCGCUUUAAUGUCUCAUAAUUUUUAGGAAUUAGUGUUGAACAUCCCUAGUGAUAUCUCUUACUACGUAUUUGCCUCCAAUGUGUUUUCCAGGGUUUGCCAAAUGACGGAUCUGUUGAGUGUACAGACUCGUAUAAGCACAUGUCUGUGAUAGUUGUGUUGAAUUCGGUGGAACUAUUGGUAGAUCUUAUGCGUUUUCCUGGUCAGUUAAUGCCACGGUCUACCCGAGCUAUUUUCAUGGCUCAUAUCUCAGCAUCUGGGGAGAGUGAUUCGGCUGAAAAUGAUUCUUGUGACUCACCGCUUGAACCAAAUAGUCCUCUUUAUCCUGACAGGCAAGCUUACAUUCACCCUGAAACAUGAUUUCCGCGAUCUCUGUAAAAUGAAGUUUAGCGUGAUCAAUUUUUGUUCCUCUUUUGCUACAGUGCUGAAAAAGAUGAGGGUCUUCAGUUCCAUCGCAAAUUAGAAGGAUCUUCAAAUGCUUCUGGCCCUGCAUUGAGAAAUAUGAUGUUACGUUCUACUUCAUGUCUGGAUAGAAAAUUAAGGCAUGCAGUGUCUUUCCCUCUGAAUAAUCGUUGUUGCAUUGAUUUGUUUCAUGUUGCUCUGUAUAAUUGACUGAAUUUUUGGUGUGCUUGUUUUUUGCGUGCAUGCAUACUACAUUUAAUUUUGUAUUGAACUGUUUCCUUUCUGUCCUUUUUGUUUCCCAUUUUUGCUUCAGUUUAUCGCAUAGUGAUCCCAAUAUCGCUGCAACAUUUUGGCGGCGUAGCCGGAAAAAGGUGUUAGCUGAACAGCGGACUGCUAGUUCAAGGUUUCUUUUCGUUUGACCUUUACAUUCCAAUCAACGUGUUCGAAACUAGCUGUGAUGCUUUGGUGUUAGCUCUGAUUUCUUCCCUCUCUAAUGUCACUCUGUCGUGAUGGACAUGCUUCUGAAAAUUGCUAUGAUGUUUUGGUGUUCAAAUAAUGGUAAUUUAAACCAUCUUGCUGGCCUUCUUUACUUUGUGUCAGUAUUGCCUUAAUUUAUAAUAGGAGACUCCUGAAUGAAAAUCCUCUAUUUUUCAUGCCUUCGAUGAUGCAUUAUUUUGCAGUCCAGAGCAUCCAUCAUUAAGGGUACGUGGAAGGUCUAUGCUAGGUGGUGACAGGCACUCGAUUAGAGAUUAUCCCGAGGAUGUAGCCAGCUCAAGGUUCUUUUUCUUUUUUUUCCUAUGUUGAAUGCAUGAGCAAUGGUUUUGGGACAAAAGUCUAGGAUUUUAUUGAAGAUACUAUUACCGUUUCUUGAAUUCGUUUUACUUUUAUUUGUCCAAAUCCUGUAAAUGUAGGUUGACGGACAGAUUGCAUGUAAUUUGGAUGUUCAUGGUUGUUUUCCAAUGCUUGUGCACUUAUUAAUAUAAUGGACUACAGUGAUCCGAGUGUUUUAGUUGAAACCGUCAUUUGAGAUAGAUGAUAGGUUAUGGCUGUUUAGAGUUAAGCCCAUGUCUUAUUCAGCAAGGUGUUUAGAUCCGUUUCACUGAACAUUUCCUCCUUGGCUUUUUCUAAUAUUCAUCAAUGGUCUUAACUACAGAUCAGAAGGAGCAUCAACGUCAUCGGCGACUCGUAGAUUAAGAAGAAGGAGCAUGAGCAUGACCCCGGAGAUUGGUGAUGAUAUCGUCAGGUUGAUAUUUCUUCAACUUUUAUGAUAAUUAGACACCCUACCAAGACAUGACAAAAAUUAUAGGCUCUUAAGAUAGUCAUUCUGGAGAUAAAUCCUUUUGUACAUGUAUAUUUGACAAACCGUGCAAGAAAUAAAUCAGCCCAAAUUAUACAACUUGCCCAAAGGGAGUAAGCUGUUUGCCUCCAUCAUUUUCUAUACUUCACUUGAGUUUCUGUUAUUGUUGUUAUCUUGUACUGGAUUGAAGAGGUAUAGGAAAGAUUAGCCUUGUUCACAUUAACUGGCUGUCUUGUGUCCAUAAGUACAAAAGUAAGAAGACCUCUGUGAUACUAAGGCUUUCAGGUAAGCACAUCUAAGGUUUAGGUUGAAGAUUUGAUGGGGAAUAAAUGGACGGACGGGUAAAAAUUUAACAAUGAAAUACUAUUGAAGCUCUCUUGAAGUGCAACGAUCUGAAAUAUAGCUUUUGAGGCAAACUUGAAGUAUUCGAGCUUAAACUUGAAACUUAUCAUUUUUAAUGUUGUAGAUUUGUUUAUCGAGUAAUUUUUUUUUUCAAAUGUGACAACUUAAAUGAUGAUUUAAUCUGCGUUUGUUUCAGGGCUGUGCGUGCCAUGAAUGAAAGUAUGAAGCAAAACCGUCUAGUGAGGGAGCAAGGAGAUGGCACAUUUUCUACUAUUAACUCAAAUGACAAGGACGGCCAAUCAGAUCUUCAAAAUAAUGUACGGUUCGUAUGAGCAAUGCAAAACCAUCUUAACGUUGCUGCAUAUGUCAUAAUUUGUCCUUCUUAACUUUGCUUUGUUUGGCCUAAAUCCUAUGUCCUGUGUCUUCUUUCAUGGUUUGCAUCCCGUUUCAGCACUCACCGCCAGAGUUUGCCUCAUAUUGUUAUUUUUCAUCUAAGUGAUCGUAGGAAAGCUUGUUUGAUUAGUUUUAUUAUGUCUUCAAUUAGGCUCAAGUAUGAGUUCAGGAAUAAACUAGAAGAGUCCUCAGGAGAUAAAAGGAAUAUGUUAUAUUUUGUUAGUUUUCUGGCUUCAUUCAUUGUGACUGGCGGCCCUAUGCUUUGUUUCAGCUAUCUAGCAGAAAGCCUGCCUUGUAUGCUCUUCAGGUGGAUCACAAAAACUCUCAGAAGGCAAUGUCACUACCGUCCUCUCCGCAUGGAUAUAGCAGCCAAGCACUGGAGAGAUAUGAGCCUUCAAGCUCUUCGACAAAUGUUGAAUUUGUCUCAAUGUGGAAUAAAGUCCUUGAAUCGCCCAUGUUCCAGAAUAAACCUCUGUUACCUUAUGACGAAUGGACUAUUGACUUUUCAGAAAUAAGUGUCGGAACUCGUGUUGGGAUAGGUAAGACCAUCUAACUGUUUUAAUCUGUUUAUGUCCUCUUCAAAUGUCAGAUUUUAUGAACGUACAGUCUUUUACAUUACCCAAUGAUAUAAGGGGGUUUCAAUUUCGGGCAUGUUAUUAGUGGUAGUUGGGAUCGUGGAUGCCUCAAUUUUGCAGAAAUUAUGCCAAUUUUGGGCAUGUUAUAUGUGCUUUUCCAGAAUAAUCUAAACUUAAAUAUUGCAGCAUGCUUUCUUAACAUAUGUAUGGAGAGAUUUAUUUACUUCCAUUUUCUUGAACAUUCUCUUUACUAGGUUUUUUCGGUGAAGUUUUCCGUGGUGUAUGGAACGGAACAGAAGUUGCUAUCAAAGUCUUCUUAGAGCAAGAUCUAACAGCUGAAAACAUGGAAGACUUUUGCAAUGAAAUAUCCAUUCUUAGGUAUUUCUUGGUGAUCAGCCAACCUCUUUUAAGUUUUGUGAAAUUACCCAAAUAUUCCACUAAUUGAAUUGUCUUUUUGCUGUUCCUGCAUCGUUCUUCUUCCAGUCGUCUGCGGCAUCCUAAUGGUAAUUCCUCUUUUCUCAAUACUUCUAUCAUUAAUUUCCUUAUACCCUAAAAUACAUUUUACGGCUCUUUAUUAUACUUACAUCCAUCACUAGUUACUUGAACAUCAUGGACUUCUGGUUCCACCUUGAAUUUCUUCAUAUGUUUCAUCAGUCAGUCAGUUGAUUCAUCCUGCUCUUGCAGUCAUAUUGUUUCUGGGUGCUUGUAUAAAGCCUCCACGAUUGUCAAUGGUCACGGAGUACAUGGAAAUGGGAUCCUUGUAUUACCUGAUCCAUAUGAGUGGCCAGAAGAAGAAACUUAGUUGGCGGAGGCGGCUUAAAAUGCUGCGUGAUAUAUGCAGGUAUUCCAUCUCACUCCCUAAUUUUCUCUUGUUUCAUUUGCCUUAACACUUGGUGCACUCACAAGGACAUUUGUUUUUCUGUUGUCGUAACUGAUUUCAGAGGGCUGAUGUGUAUACACCGGAUGAACAUAGUCCACCGUGAUCUCAAGAGCGCAAAUUGUCUAGUGAACAGGCAUUGGACCGUAAAGAUCUGCGAUUUCGGCCUAUCGAGAAUCAUGAUGACAAAACCGGUCGUCGACUCGUCUUCAGCUGGAACCCCGGAAUGGAUGGCUCCUGAACUCAUCCGCAGCGAACCUUUCACCGAGAAAUGCGACAUUUUCAGCCUUGGCGUUUUAAUGUGGGAGCUCUGCACUCUCAACAGACCUUGGGAAGGAGUCCCUCCUGAAAGAGUACAAAACUCCUGUUCACUUCUGCUUUUAUAUAUUUUGUAGAGGAAUGAAUUAGGAGUUGUUUGCUAAUGAUGAUACCUCCCCCUGAGUUCUGGUCAAACAUGAUAGUAGAUAACACUCUGUACCAAACGACCGCCUAAGUAGGUCUUUAUCUGUUUGCUUGCUUGCUCUCAGGUUGUGUAUGCUGUUGCGAACGAGGGAUCACGGCUGGAGAUCCCUGAAGGUCCUCUGGGAAGGCUGAUUUCAGGUAACGACGAUUAAACGGAAUUUUCGCAUAGCGAACUAAAGAAAAUUCGAUAGGAAGCCAUUUUAAUCGAGGUAUUCGUCCUUCAUUUUGGCAGACUGCUGGGCGGAACCGGAUCAGCGGCCAAGCUGCGAAGAAAUACUGUCUCGGUUGCUCGACUGCGAGUACACCCUUUGCUGAAAAACUGAAAAAACAGAAUCCCUUUCCCUUCUUCUUAUGUACAGAGAAACAUGGUAAGAGUGUUGGUACGUUGUUCUAUCUCGGCUUUUAUGUUGUUAGAUUUUCUUCUUUCUUUCUUUCUUGUUCCUCCAAAAUCACAGCCAUAAAGAACCAGACUCAGCUUAUUUUUGGUACAAUUUCUAACAUGGUCUUCGGCAUCUGUUUGUGGCAACACAUGCACUAUGUUCGGCUAGACCGACGUUGACUUGGUCGUUUGUUUCUUGGUGGUCUCGAGUUCAAUUCAAGGGUUGUGCGCGGCUCAAAUUUUAAAAAUCUACAGUUCUGGCUUAGCUCCAUAUCAACCAUUAAGUUGGUUUGAUAAUCUUAACGAGUCCCCCUUGAGCUCGACAUAAAAACCCUAACUUUUAAGAGUUCACCUUUAGUUUCAGCUCGAAUCUAACGAGAUGACAAUGGAUUUAUUUAAUCUUCGACAUGUUUGAGCUAACUCACUGGUCACAAAUCAAGCCGGCUUCAACGAGUAUGCAAGCCCGGCCAGCUCGUUUAUCGUCAAUAUGGCUCGCAACUCACAAGAUGCCUCAUUUAGUAUUUAACUGAAUCCUGAACGAGCUUUUAGUAAAUUUUCGAAGCCACUCUGUAAAGCUCUAACGAUUGCAUUUCACUGAGACUUAACUAAUUGUCCAGUUGCGUUGAUAUAAGAUUCAUUCUGCGACUGUGCACGAUUCAUUCUCGACGGUGCACGAGUCAUUCUAGACAUCUCGCAAAGCCCGUCCCGUACAAUGAAUGAUGUACAUAUUGAUGCAUGACAAACUACUUUCAUAUGAGCCAAUAGCUUCCUUCAGCUCUCAAUAGUAUCUUACGAAACCAUUAAAAAUCUUAUAAAGAGAUGCACAAGAGAAAACAUGCUAACCAAAAGCAAUGUACAAGUAUUGGGCACAAAUUCUCGACCUUAAUACUUUGAUUUGACCAAAAGCCAUACUGAUCCAAACCGGUAAGACCCAUACUCGAGCUCGAAGCCGUAACCCAACCACUAGAAAUCCUCAUGUUUGUCUAUAAACACAUCAUGUCAUCAUCGACAUGAAAAAUCACCAACUUACACAGCAAGAUUCUGAGUUCCCAUCUUCACCUUUGUCUGUUCCCCGCAUAAAUCACACUAUUGCAAGUCAUGAUAGUUCUUAACUACUAAAGCCAGUUUAACAAAUGGACAUCUGAACCACACCGAAAACAAUUAAAAUACGAAACACCACACGGAGCAGGUAGCGAUACCGCCACAACCCCGCAGGGGAGUGGGGGUGAAGCCCCCCCCCCCCCCCCCCCCCAGCCUUCAGUCACGUCACUGCAGCACAAGUUAACAGAUUAUGAUGAGGUUAAUCCGACAAGUAACUUGAGGAAACGAGCCGGCAAUGGCUGCAGAGUUCAACGUACCUCGGCUUCAUCUGCUCCACUGGCUUUGCCGCCGCCAUUCACCUUCUGUGCAUCUUCUGUUAGGGGGAGGGAAUAUCAGAGACUUACAGAAGGGAAGCAACAUGCUUCAUACAACUGCGAAACUAGAAAAAAAUGUGUAACCCGGAUUAAAUGCACUAAGUUAGUGGUAACGAAAAGUCUCACCUCCAUCAUCUAUGUCAGAAGUCCACAAGGUGAGGUUGUCUCUAAGAAGCUGCAUUAUCAAAGUGCUGUCCUUGUAAGAUUCUUCAUUUAGAGUGUCGAGUUCUGAGAUGGCUUCAUCAAAGGCUUGUUUUGCAAGGUGGCAGGCCCUGAUGGAAAUAUAAAAAUCACAUUGAAUGAGAUGGUUGAUGAGCUUCAGCUUCCUGGUUAUGGAGUAAAGGGGGCUCAGGCAUUCGGUGCAUACCUUUCGGGUGAAUUCAGUAUCUCGUAAUAGAAGACCGAGAAAUUCAAUGCCAAGCCCAGUCUGAUUGGGUGUGUAGGAGGUAAAUCGGCCUCUGCCAAAGUAGUAGCUUUCUGCAAGCAAGUAUAAGAAAAUUAGUACAUUCUCUUACUAUUUUUUUACACGAUUACAGCAUUGUCACCAAAAUAGCAAUCAUUUCUCAACUCUAGGGAAUGAAAUCACUGAAUCGAUCAGACGUCAUGUAUUAAGGCAGUGAUCAAAUCCAGUUAGACAAGCUGGUAUCACGAUUACACGGAUCUAAUCAUGCAGCAUUUCGAGCUUAAGCACGAACAAAAGACAUUCAAUGUGAUGACCACGCAUCAGAAAAACAAUCAGAGAGAGGCUCUACUUAAAGUUGCCAACUAAACCAACUACAUCAAAACCAUGCAAGAACUAAACUAGGGGCAAUGCCCAGGAAGUGGAAGUCGAGAUACCUCAUAAGCUUUCAUCGAGUUUUCGCCAGCUUCCUUCUUCUCAUUCCCACUCUUGAAUUCAGCAAGAUACCUAUAGUAAUCUCCCUUCCUACAAAACCAUCAAAUGAAGUAGCCGAGAGUGAAAAUCGAAUACUAUAACGAGUCAAGCAAAACUGAACUGCACCUUCCAAUUUGUUUUGGCUCACAUCUUGUAGUAGAAGAUGGCGGAUUCUCCAGUAGGAGCAGCAGGUAUGAGAUGCUCAUCAAUCACAACCAUGACAUCGUUGCAGAUAUCGGUCAGCUCAUUCUCGACUUUGGUCCUGUACUCUUUAAUCCUCUUAGCAUUCACUUCGUUGCCUCUCGACUCUUCCUUCUGCUCAAUGGACGACAGAAUCCUCCACGACGCUCGCCGAGCACCGAUCACGUUCUUGUAGCCAACAGAGAGCAAGUUCCUCUCCUCGAUCGUCAGCUCCACAUCUAGCUUCGCCAAAUUCUUCAUCGCUUCCACCAUUUCUGCAACGUAAAGCAGAUUAAACAAUCGGAUUUCUACUUAUCAGCUCCGAUGCAAAUUAGGUCAUAAGAGCGACUUGAUUUUCUCAAGUGAAGAGGAAUCGGAGAGCAAAAGAAGUCGAGCAAAAUUCUGGAGGAAUCGCUUACCUUCGUAGCGUUCAGCUUGCUCGGCGAGCUUGGCAGUGUAGACGAAUUGGUCUCUUUCAGCCAUGGCGAUAGAGGAAGGUAAAGCUCUGAUUGAACCAGAAAUGGUGCGAGUUGGUGAAGAGUGAGAGAGUAGGAGGAUGAAGAAGAAGAAAUCAAUGAGAGGUUUUAUGAAGGACAAGGACAGAAAUGGAACUUCACAGCUGGGAGUGGGUGGGGGGUAAAAGUGUCAAAUCGCGUCACGCUUGUCGGAUUAGCUGUCGGAAUGUUUUCAUUUGCUUCUCUUUCUUCUCUUUCCGGUACAACUUUACCGUCUGCAUAUAAAAAUAAUAAAGGAGUCGUCGUCGUCGCCGGCGUAAUGAAAAAGUCAAAUUGACUGCGUAAAAGACAAUUAAGAGUAAUUUUUACUACUAAAUAAGAAAAGAGCCAACGACACUGUCAACAUUUCCUCGUCCAUGUCGAAAAUAAAUCAAGAUCGAAAUGAAAGAGACAUGAAUCCAUAAUGGUUUAAUUGUACGCAAUCAGAUUAUAUAAAAGUUAAAGGUAACGAAUCGCAUAUUACAAAAUAUGUAAGAAUCAACGUUGAAACAUAAAAAAGAAGUUAAAAUAUUAUCGUCGGAGUGAGUGUGACUGACUCCUGCCUUGAAAGACUCUCCGAUGUUUGCUACGGGGCGAAACCAACGGCAUUUUUGUACACAUGAUAAGUAGCACCAUGGCUCCAUCACCUUGAAAGCGUGUAUGUGUUUUCAGUUAAAGUUUGUGUAACCGUAACCUUUUACUGUAACUGAUGCUCCACUUUGCUGCAUAAAGCAAAGGCAGUUUCGGUUUAGCUGUUUGCAAAAAGUUGUUGACGUCCCCGCGUUUCAUUAUUACCUCGGAGAGGUUCAAAUUAUAAAGCUGUAGGGACAGUGGCACGAGCCAUGUUUUGGAAGGGGCACUGGCGCUUGCUGUUUAAGGUUAUACAAAUGAGUUCGAGUUCGGCUAGAGUAAUUGGUUAAGUUCGUUUGCAAGUCUUAACAAGUCGAGUAAUUGGAUAAACUCAAUUUAGUAAUGGUACGAGCUGAUUCGCGAGCCAACCGAGCCUAGCCAGGGUUGGCUCGUGCUCACAUCGUGUAUUAUCGUGCAGGCUCACAAGAAGGCUUGUUUUGAAAUCGAGUCGAGUCUCGAUCAAUUUUUUUUCCUGAGCCGAACGACCGAAUUGCUGCAAGACAUAGACCGAGCAGCAAUAACCAGUACACACAGCUGAAGAAGCAGUCCAGCUUUGAACUCAUAUUAGCACAUCGACUAUAUCGUCUAGGUUGCGGGUUCGGCUUAAGAACCUUGCGCUAUAAACCAUUAGUCUCAACGGCUCAACCCUGGUACCAUUUCACUGAACUAGCCGAAAAUCAGCACUAGCCAGAAGGUGGUAAAAAAUGUGAACCCGAUGCUUUUUCCAUCAAGCAUCAUCAUACUUCAGUUGGAUCACAAUAACAGAACACAGAUUGCAGAGUACUGGACACUGUUUAUUAAUUUGGUACAAACUUACAAGUUUACAUUACAGGAUUGCUUCUCCAUUCACAAAGAAGAAAAAGCAAAGUGCACGCAAUUCGAGGGAGCCAUAGAAGAGGGAAGACUUUAUUUUUCAUAGAAAGCUAUAACUUAAACAAGCUCAGCUUUAGUAUGCCGCAAGCGUUACGAAAAAACAACAAAACUACGCAGAGAAGACUUGAAUGGCAAGGAAGAUAGAUGACAAAGGUUUAGCCUGUGUUUUGAAGGCCGGCAGCAAUACCUUUCAUGGUCAGAAUGAGAGUGUCUUCCAGGCCGGGAGCAUACUCGCUCGUCGGGUUAAGCUUCAACAGCUCAGCAGCGGGCUUCAUCCCAUCGUUGUAUUCCUUGGACAGGUGGGGCCUCAGGGCCACGUGGUAGUCAGGGUCUCGAACACGCUUCAGGGUGUAAGCUUGGGAGACGUUGAGGGUUGUGAUAUAUGCAUCGCGGAGACGAAGCCUCUGCUUCAGGUAUGGAUCUCCUUCCAACACUUCUUUGUGGCCAGCAAUCUGUAAUAAUGGAUACAAAGGGUUGCUUGAUUCGUUUCGUUAUCGUUCUUGAUAUGUUAUAAACUUAAAAUGGUAAAAUUCAUGAAUAAGUUACCUGGAGGAGGAAGUCCUUAGUUUGAAGGUACUUGGAUCUCAACUGGUCACCAAACGGACGCAAUUCUGGUGACACGAGGAGCUUGUCGUACAGAGCAGCAAUCUCGGGAUCGCCCUUGGCGAAAACCAUUUCGACCAGAUCAAUCGUGACUCGGAAGAACGGCCACUGGUUGUACAUAUCUUGAAGCAUUUUGAGGUUUUUGAUAUCCUUGUCGAUAACAUGCUUGAAAGCAGCUCCGAAGCCGAGCCAUACUGGUAAAUGGAAUCUUGUCUGUGUCCAGGCGAAAAUCCAUGGGAUCGCACGAAGCGAUUCUAUGCCUCCGCUUGGCUUUCUCCUCUCGACUCUUCCUUCUGCUCAAUGGACGACAGAAUCCUCCACGACGCUCGCCGAGCACCGAUCACGUUCUUGUAGCCAACAGAGAGCAAGUUCCUCUCCUCGAUCGUCAGCUCCACAUCUAGCUUCGCCAAAUUCUUCAUCGCUUCCACCAUUUCUGCAACGUAAAGCAGAUUAAACAAUCGGAUUUCUACUUAUCAGCUCCGAUGCAAAUUAGGUCAUAAGAGCGACUUGAUUUUCUCAAGUGAAGAGGAAUCGGAGAGCAAAAGAAGUCGAGCAAAAUUCUGGAGGAAUCGCUUACCUUCGUAGCGUUCAGCUUGCUCGGCGAGCUUGGCAGUGUAGACGAAUUGGUCUCUUUCAGCCAUGGCGAUAGAGGAAGGUAAAGCUCUGAUUGAACCAGAAAUGGUGCGAGUUGGUGAAGAGUGAGAGAGUAGGAGGAUGAAGAAGAAGAAAUCAAUGAGAGGUUUUAUGAAGGACAAGGACAGAAAUGGAACUUCACAGCUGGGAGUGGGUGGGGGGUAAAAGUGUCAAAUCGCGUCACGCUUGUCGGAUUAGCUGUCGGAAUGUUUUCAUUUGCUUCUCUUUCUUCUCUUUCCGGUACAACUUUACCGUCUGCAUAUAAAAAUAAUAAAGGAGUCGUCGUCGUCGCCGGCGUAAUGAAAAAGUCAAAUUGACUGCGUAAAAGACAAUUAAGAGUAAUUUUUACUACUAAAUAAGAAAAGAGCCAACGACACUGUCAACAUUUCCUCGUCCAUGUCGAAAAUAAAUCAAGAUCGAAAUGAAAGAGACAUGAAUCCAUAAUGGUUUAAUUGUACGCAAUCAGAUUAUAUAAAAGUUAAAGGUAACGAAUCGCAUAUUACAAAAUAUGUAAGAAUCAACGUUGAAACAUAAAAAAGAAGUUAAAAUAUUAUCGUCGGAGUGAGUGUGACUGACUCCUGCCUUGAAAGACUCUCCGAUGUUUGCUACGGGGCGAAACCAACGGCAUUUUUGUACACAUGAUAAGUAGCACCAUGGCUCCAUCACCUUGAAAGCGUGUAUGUGUUUUCAGUUAAAGUUUGUGUAACCGUAACCUUUUACUGUAACUGAUGCUCCACUUUGCUGCAUAAAGCAAAGGCAGUUUCGGUUUAGCUGUUUGCAAAAAGUUGUUGACGUCCCCGCGUUUCAUUAUUACCUCGGAGAGGUUCAAAUUAUAAAGCUGUAGGGACAGUGGCACGAGCCAUGUUUUGGAAGGGGCACUGGCGCUUGCUGUUUAAGGUUAUACAAAUGAGUUCGAGUUCGGCUAGAGUAAUUGGUUAAGUUCGUUUGCAAGUCUUAACAAGUCGAGUAAUUGGAUAAACUCAAUUUAGUAAUGGUACGAGCUGAUUCGCGAGCCAACCGAGCCUAGCCAGGGUUGGCUCGUGCUCACAUCGUGUAUUAUCGUGCAGGCUCACAAGAAGGCUUGUUUUGAAAUCGAGUCGAGUCUCGAUCAAUUUUUUUUCCUGAGCCGAACGACCGAAUUGCUGCAAGACAUAGACCGAGCAGCAAUAACCAGUACACACAGCUGAAGAAGCAGUCCAGCUUUGAACUCAUAUUAGCACAUCGACUAUAUCGUCUAGGUUGCGGGUUCGGCUUAAGAACCUUGCGCUAUAAACCAUUAGUCUCAACGGCUCAACCCUGGUACCAUUUCACUGAACUAGCCGAAAAUCAGCACUAGCCAGAAGGUGGUAAAAAAUGUGAACCCGAUGCUUUUUCCAUCAAGCAUCAUCAUACUUCAGUUGGAUCACAAUAACAGAACACAGAUUGCAGAGUACUGGACACUGUUUAUUAAUUUGGUACAAACUUACAAGUUUACAUUACAGGAUUGCUUCUCCAUUCACAAAGAAGAAAAAGCAAAGUGCACGCAAUUCGAGGGAGCCAUAGAAGAGGGAAGACUUUAUUUUUCAUAGAAAGCUAUAACUUAAACAAGCUCAGCUUUAGUAUGCCGCAAGCGUUACGAAAAAACAACAAAACUACGCAGAGAAGACUUGAAUGGCAAGGAAGAUAGAUGACAAAGGUUUAGCCUGUGUUUUGAAGGCCGGCAGCAAUACCUUUCAUGGUCAGAAUGAGAGUGUCUUCCAGGCCGGGAGCAUACUCGCUCGUCGGGUUAAGCUUCAACAGCUCAGCAGCGGGCUUCAUCCCAUCGUUGUAUUCCUUGGACAGGUGGGGCCUCAGGGCCACGUGGUAGUCAGGGUCUCGAACACGCUUCAGGGUGUAAGCUUGGGAGACGUUGAGGGUUGUGAUAUAUGCAUCGCGGAGACGAAGCCUCUGCUUCAGGUAUGGAUCUCCUUCCAACACUUCUUUGUGGCCAGCAAUCUGUAAUAAUGGAUACAAAGGGUUGCUUGAUUCGUUUCGUUAUCGUUCUUGAUAUGUUAUAAACUUAAAAUGGUAAAAUUCAUGAAUAAGUUACCUGGAGGAGGAAGUCCUUAGUUUGAAGGUACUUGGAUCUCAACUGGUCACCAAACGGACGCAAUUCUGGUGACACGAGGAGCUUGUCGUACAGAGCAGCAAUCUCGGGAUCGCCCUUGGCGAAAACCAUUUCGACCAGAUCAAUCGUGACUCGGAAGAACGGCCACUGGUUGUACAUAUCUUGAAGCAUUUUGAG
This 68856-nucleotide long non-coding RNA is filed under the name Linum usitatissimum (flax). RNAcentral describes it as "long non-coding RNA (LUSI_LNC007706)". Lineage: Eukaryota; Viridiplantae; Streptophyta; Magnoliopsida; Malpighiales; Linaceae. The record is from RNAcentral.